UAUCAUGUACUCACAUUUCCUAUUUGUAGCAGGUUUCUCAUCUACUCCCUCCGUUCCUAAAUGUAAGUCUUUUUAGAGAUUUCACUACAAACUACAUACGGAUGUAUAUGGACAGAUUUUAGAGUGUAGAUUCACUCAUUUUGAUCCGUAUCUAGUCCAUAGUGAAAUCUUUUAAAAAGACUUAUACUUAGGAACGGAGGGAGUAUAUAAUAAAAAGAAAAACAGAGACGACAGAAAACAGUGGUAAAAUAGGAAUGUCGAACAAAGCAUGCUUUCUGCACAAAACUAAACCGACGCCAAAUACGAGUUUACUAGAGAUCCAAAAGGUAAUCAGGCGUGCUUGCUCGCUCACCACAAAGACCAAAAUUGGAGCACGUAGGUACAUAUCCGUCCCGUUCACAGCAACAUGCGGUACAUUAUUGCUCGACUAGUCCUAAGAGCUUCAACCAUAGUUCAUUCCACAAGUUAAGACACGCCCACUUUCACAAAAACAAGUGCAGAGUGAUCAUGUCUCGGAUGCAGGUCCCAUCUAGUAUGGCUCCACCGGUGCGCGGAACUUGAGGCCGGCAUACACAGCGGCAGCGCCCAGCUCUUCCUCGAUCCUCAGAAGCUGUUCCAAUUGGAAAAGAAAUAACCCCUUAGUGUAAAUUUGGGAAACCGAACAAAGAAAAACAAGACAUGAUUGCUCAAAUAAACACAUUACAUUGAACAAAAGAAUAUCAGAAACCACUAUCAGUCUAACGCUAAACACAGAUGAGAAAUCAUUCUUAAAUGAGCACAUUGCAUCGAACAAAAGGAUAAAAAAGAAAGAAUAAUUUCUUUUUAGUAAUUGCAAGAAGUCUUGUUGGUCUAACAGAAUAGCAGUUCAAGAAUUACAGGAAAGCCACUUGCCUGGUUGUACUUGGCAAGCCGCUCUGAGCGGCAGGGAGCCCCAGUCUUGAUCUGACCCUGUUGCACAUGAUGAAACAUUGGUCAGUUACUCCCGAUCGAUCCAGAGGAGAAGAAACAGCUGUCACAUUAAAAUUACUCAAGACAAACAAUAAAAUGAAGAUCAUGAAAUCAUACCGUGGACAAACCAACAGCCAAAUCAGCAAUGAAUGUGUCCUCAGUCUCACCACUGCACACAGCAAAUGUACAUAAGCAUACAAAUGGUAAUAACAAUAGAAACAAGGGGGAAAACGGCGGGGUAACAAGGCGGUAUCUCUUAUGUACCUCCUGUGACUGGUCAUCACACCCCAGCCAGCAUGUUUCGACAUCUUCACGGCCUCGAUACUUUCAGUGACGGAUCCAAUUUGGUUAACCUACACAUGAAAAGGAUGAAACAAUCAGAUCAUAAUCCCUCCGAUCAGGUACUUAUUAUGGAUCGGAAGGAGUACUAUGACGACCAAAGGAGAAGAAUCAAUUAACAGCUUCUGUUUACCUUCAGCAGAAGAGCAUUGCAUGACUUCUCCUUGAUUGCCUUCGCAACUCUCUGCGCAACAUAAUUAUACAACAAAUUAACUGUAGUGAUCCAACAGAAUGAAAAUGCCCACCUACACAACAGAAAACAAAUCACUCACGGUUGGGUUGGUGACUAGAAGGUCAUCACCAACAAUCUGAACUUGCUCUCCACAUUCUUCAGUCAUCUUAGCAUAGUGCACCCAGUCAUCCUGGUCAAAUGGGUCCUCAAUCGACACAAUGGGGUACUCACUCACGAAUGACUUGUAUACAUUCUUCAGGCUAUCUCCAGAUAUCUUCUGGGAACCAUCGUUGUUCUACAGCAAGGGAAAGCAAUGUUAUAAAUGCUCAUGAAAAGAGAACAAAUUGUUACCACAAAAUAAACAAUGGGGCUGCUUACCUCUUCCUUGAAGUUGAGGUCAUAUGUUUUGUCCUUGUCAUUGUAGAACUCUGAAGCAGCAACAUCCAUUCCAAUGACAACCUAGAAUUUUCCAAAGCAACAAAUCUCCUUCAAUUACAAACUUAAAGGCUCAGUGAGAAGUGCACUACAACAGAUUAAUUCAAGCAGACAAACCUUGCCGGUGUAUCCAGCCUUUUCAAUUGCAGUCUUCAAGAGCUCAAGACCCUCCUUGUUCUCCUACAACACCCGAAAACAAAAAGAACUCAGAUGACACCCCACAAGCAUUGACCUCAAUUUAUAACAACACGGUAGUUCUAUACAUCCAAACAUGACAGUCAGCAACUGUUGUCAAAACACCAAGACAUAACAAAGCAAGGAAAUCUGAUAUUAAACCUCCAAGGACAGGGAAAUACCUGAAUGUUAGGAGCAAAACCACCUUCAUCUCCAACAUUGGUGGCAUCUUGCCCGUACUUCUUCUUGAUAACAGACUGUCACAGAAAAUGAUCCUUUUAGUAAAUUUACUUUUUACUACAUGAUAGCAAAGAGAAAAAGAAGAUGAAAGAAUUACCUUCAAGUUGUGGUACACUUCAACGCCCAUCUUCAUUGCCUCCUUGAAUGAGGCAGCUCCAGUAGGAAGGAUCAUGAACUCCUGCAGAUAUGCAAGUAUAGGCAUAAAUAACAUAUGUGCGAAAACAACAUGAAAGAUGUGAAAAUCUUAGUUCAGAGCAUUGCCUGCAUAGCAAGCUUGUUUCCAGCAUGGGAUCCACCAUUGAUGACAUUGAAUGCAGGAACAGGCAAAACCAAUUGCUUGUUGCCAGCAAGGUUGGCAAUGUGCUGCAGUGAAGAAUAUAUUCAUGUUGAAAGACUUUAGGCAAUAGCAAACAAAUGUAGAAUAUUAAAAGAGGAGAUCAGCAAUGAUGCACACCUGGUACAGCGGAAUCUUCUUGAUGCUGGCUCCAGCUUUGCAAAUAGCUAGUGACACAGCCAGGAUUGCAUUAGCACCAAGCUGAAUAUACAGAAGAAAUUGAGCUGUUAGAAGGGGACCUGCAUAUGGAUAUUAGCAUUGGCACCAAGUAAAACUCGUGGUGGAUUAUGUACUACCUUCUGCUUGCACCAACCCCAUUCGUUUUUGGUUCCAUCAAGCUGCUGAACCAUAAAGUUGUCGAGCUCAGUUUGAGCUGUAGGGUCCUGUAGAAGGAAAUAGAGCACUGAAUGAAUUAUGCAUUCAACUCUCAUAUCACAAUAGAGAAGGGGACAAUGCUAACCUUGCCAAUCAAAGCUGGUGCGAUAAUCAAGUUCACAUUGUCAACAGCCUGUGAAAGAAAAAGAGAAAUACAUGUAAAUACAAAGAAAAGACUAAAUUACGCAUGCACAUGGACUAUUCACUACAAUAGAAAAAACCAGGAUAGCUAUAGUGAAACAUAAAGACUAAAUGAUCCUGAGUUGUUUAUUUCAGGGCAGUAUAAAUAAGGAAAUAAGGCGUGCACAAGAGAUAUUGCCCAUGAUGAUUCAGUUCAUAAAUACAUAAUCCUAAGCUACUACAUAUAAUAAACGGCAAUGAGAUAUAAAAAAAUGCAACAACCUACCACAUUAACAUUAAGAAAACAUAUCAUAGUUCACAUUAACAUUAAGAAAAAAUCUACAACCUGGCACAAACUAGAAAUAUCAAGUUAUACAGCACAAGGAAACAUUGUAUGGAUGAAACCAACAUCAAAAAAUAACUUGUUCUCACAAACAGGAUAACUGAAAAGCUACACUAGCACUGUUUGGUCCAUUUGGCAUAAUAAUUUGGUAAACAAGUAGGAAAAUUUCAAAAGGUGACAAACAAUAUUGCUAGUGUAACAACAGCAUAGAGUUGAGGCAAAAGAACAUAUACAGCAGCCACAUCAGAGUUAAAGAACUAUGACAUAGAGUUAAAGAAUGUGAAGAUAAAGUUCGCUCAAAUGGAUGUAAACCUUGGAAACACCCUUUCCCAAGUAGUCAGAUCCACCGUCUCUCAGUUCCAAAGCUUCAUAAACACCUACAGAAGAGGGAAGAUUCAGACAAGAUUAGUAAAACAAAAACAAUACAAUAACAUUCCGUAAAUAAUGAUCCAAAUAAGAGUUUGUGCCUUCACUAGUCAGGAACUCAGGAAACCAAAGCAGAAACUUAAGGUUGAAAAGGAGAGAGUGAUGAUAAUAACAAAAUAACUCACCAGUUGAUGCACCGCUGGGAACAGCGGCCCUGGCGAAGGUUCCAUCUGAGCAGCACACAUCAACCUGAUGCACAAAACCAUGAGAUUAGCCAAAAUAGUUUACACUUUAGCAUUAUGCGUAGUUUAAACAAUAAAAUCCGAACAAUGUCGCAUUUCAAACAAAGCAUCAUGUUUCACCACAGCUGUAACUAGGACACAAACCAUAUACUAGCUACAUUUAGCUAUAUAUAAACGCAAAGCAGAACGACCAGCCAUCUGUGGAUACACACUGUGAAAACCUAAAACGGAUUCCUAGCAGGCAAAAUAAAAAAAAAUGUAUGCAGCCCAGCAUCUGACUGAACAAACCACCUUGCAUCAAAUCUACCAUAUCCUCCAGAAAAUAAAAGGCUGAUACACCCAAAACCCCUUCGACAACUCAUCAAUUUACAUUUUCGGCACAUUACUUUCCACACCAAGUACGGCCAUUAUGCACAGAUCAAACGAUGAACACUCGGCAACAACCAGGACACGAAACCAUAGUGGCCACAUAAACACCGGGCCGAUCUGCGAAUCCCUGAGACGCAUGACGACGUGCAGGCAAAAUAAACUAGCACGCGCCACCGCGGCCGGCCAAACAAACCACCUCGCAUCGAAUCUAGCACAUCCACAACCCAGGGAGUCUGGCCGAGGGGCAGCACUAAUCUGCAUCCUACCGGCCCGCCCGCCCAAAAACCCUCGAAUCUAGCGCGUCAGAAACCUACGGCCCGCGCCCCAGCAGCCCCGACCCACGGCCGAAUCACAAGAUCGAAACCAAGCCGCUGCUGCGUACGCCCGCCGCCCUACCAGAUCGAGUCGGACCGGACCACAACGCACAGAUCGGGGAGACGGACGGGAUGCGCGCGUACCUCGACGGUGGGGUUGCCGCGGCUGUCGAAGAUCUGGCGGGCCUUCACGGACUGGAUCGUCGCCGCCAUGGCCGGGGCUGUAGCUUGGAGAGGAAGAAGCCGAAAUAGAUCGAAACGAAUGGAGCGGAGGGCGGAGAAGGCGAGGAGAGGGGGCUUUAGGCAGGGCCGCCCGUUCUUUUUUAUAGUCGCGAGAUGAAAGGGAAGCGUCCCCCCGUUUUUAGCCGUGCCGCUGCUUGUGGGGACGAGGAAACUGGUGUGGGCGGCCGCACACGGGAUGGAUCGUCGAUGUGUAAUGAAUGCAUCGUAUCUACCGUUGUGUACUCCUCCCAAGCCCGUAUCGAAAACAAUACUUGUUCAAGGGGGCAAAAGAUUUCUCAUUAAUUAGAGCAUCUACAGCGGGACUCGGCAAAUCCGGCCCUUCAAAUGCCCGCGUCCGCGAGCAGUGAUCGGACACGUCUCAAAUUUCAACAUUUGCAUCCGGACAUCGCAUAUUAGAUUCUCAAAUCCAUUACAAACUAAAAUAAACCUAAGUACUGCGUCGAUCAACUAGCUACUCGUCGGAGGAGAUGUCGACGAUCUCCGUGCCGGGCUCGGGCGGCAGCGGCAGCUCCGCCUCCUUCGGCUGCUCCGCUCCGGCCUCCCCAGCCUCUAUCUCCGCAUCGAGUUCGGCGAAGAGCGCUUCGGACUCCGCAUGCUCCUGCUGGAGGAUAGUGCGGUUGGCCUCCACACAGGCCUCAUCCUGGAUGGACUCCAGGAUGGCUUGCUGCUCCGCCAUCUCGACAGACUGGGCGACGGCAAACUCUGCCUCCGCCUGCUCCAUAUUGAAGCCCGACAGCAGCUGCUCCGCCUCCUCCACCUUCAUCGGAGCCAACUCCUCCUCCCUCGGCUCCGACGAGUCCGGAGGCAGCCCGACAGCGAUGCCGGUUGCGCGCGCGGCUUUUCUCGUCCGGAUCUCCUGCUGGAUCUCGACGCGACGCUCCGACGUGAGCACUGCGUAGUAGGUUAUCUUACUCCGGACCAUGGCAGACCACUGGAGCAUGGGCAGAGCGCCAGAGCAGGAGAGGGAGGAGGUGGAUGGGCUUGGACUGGCGGCGCGGAGAGGGGAAGGUGGAUGGACUAGGGUUGCGGAGCUCCGGCCGAGUUAAAUAGGCGGAUUUUCUCUCGGCGGCGAGUCGAAGCGGCGCCACGCGGCGUUAACACUGCGGCGACGAAGGAGAUGUCUAUCAGACCGCCGAGUUUCCGGAUGAGUCCACGUGGGACCCCUUCGUCAGUCCUACAUGGCUGGUGUGCCCGGGCACUGAUGCGUCACCAACGUAUCUAUAAUUUAUGAAGUACUCAUGUCAUGUUACAACAAUUUUAUAUGGUUUUGGUAUGAUUUGAAUGGAACUAAUCCGGACUGACAAUGUUUUCAGCAGAACUACCAUUGUGUUGUUUUUUGUGCAGAAAUAAAGUUUCUCAGAAUGGAGUGAAACUAUUUGACAAUUUUUUUAACAGAAGAGCCACGACGUGCCCACGAGGCACUUGGGCGUGCCCAGGGGUGAUGGUGCCGUGGUGCCUUGAUAUGUCUCCAACGUAUCUAUAAUUUAUGAAGUAUUUAUGCCAUGUUUACAACAAUUUUAUAUGGUUUUGGUAUGAUUUGCAUGGAACUAACCCAGACUGGCACUGUUUUCAACACAACUACCAUGGUGUUGUUUUUUGUGCAGAAAUAAAAGUUCUCGGAAUUGGAUGAAAUUUUUUGAUGAUUUUUUUGGAAUAAAUAAAAAUACUGGAGCAAAGAACCACAGGAAGGGGGGCUGCUGCCCACAAGGCACGAGGGCACGCCACCCCCCAUUUGGCGCGCCCAAGAGUGUAGUGGGCCCCCUCAGGCCCAUCUUCGCGUGAAAUCGAUGCCAAAAAAUCCUAUAAAUGCAUAAACCCCCAAAAAUAACUCUAGAUGAGAAGUUUGGCUGCCGCAAACCCCUGUAGCCACGAAAAGCCAAUCGGGAGCCCGUUCGGGCACCCUGUCGGAGGGGGAAAUCAUCAUCGGAGGCCAUCUUCAUCAUCCCUAUGGUCUCCAUGAUGAGGAGGGAGUAGUCCACCCACGUGGUUGAGGGUUUGUACCAAUAGCUAUGUGUUUACUCUCUCUCUCUCUCUCGUGUUCUUGAUUUGGCACGAUCUUGAUGUAUCACGAGCUUUGUUAAUAUGGUUGGAUCAUAUGGUGUUUCUCCCUCUCUAUCUUGUUGUGAUGAAUUGAGUUUUCCCUUUGAGAUUUCGUUAUUAUUGGAUCGAAUACUUUUAUGGAUUUGAGAGCACUUGAUAUAUGUAUUGAGAUCUCAAAUUCAUCGGAUCUCGACAAACACACCGCAAAAAGAGUUACAUCAAAUAGAUCUCCAAGAAGAUCGAGAAGAACUUUGUAUUGAGAUUCAAAGAGAGAGAGAAGAAGCCAUCUAGCUAAUAACUAUGGACCCGAAGGUCUGUGGUAAAAUACUCACAACUCAUCGGAGAGGCCUUGGCGAUGAUGUAGAAGCCCUCCGUGAUCGAUUCCCCCUCCGGCGGAGCGCCGAAAAAGGCUCCAAGACGGGAUCUCACGGGUACAGAAGGUUGCGGUGGUGGAAAUAGUUUCUCGUGGUGCUCCUGGAUGUUCUCGGGGUAUGUAGAUAUAUAUAGGCGAAGGAUGUAGGUCAGGGGAGCCACGGGAGGGGGGGCACGAGGCAGGGGGUGCCCCCCUCCCCUAGGGCGCGCCCUACACCCUCGUGUCCGCCUCGGCUGCUUCUUGAUGUCCACUCCAAGUCACCUGGAUUGCGUUUGUUCCAAAAAGAUUGCUUCCGAAGGUUUCAUUCCGUUUGGACUUCGUUUGAUAUUCAUUUUCUGUGAAACAUUGAAAUAGGCAAAAAAAUCAGCAAUUCGGGCUGGGCCUCCGGUUAGUAGGUUAGUCCCAAAAAUGAUAUAAAAGUGUAAAGUAAAGCCCAUAAACAUCUAAAACGGGUAAUAUCCAAAACGGGUAAUAUAAUAGCAUGGAACAAUCAAAAACUAUAGAUACGUAUCAAUCUUCGAGAAGCUCGUCGGCGAGGCCGCCAAGCUCGCCCGCUACAACACGAAGCCCACCAUCACCUCCCGGGAGAUCUAGACCUCCGUCCGCCUCGUCCUCCCCGGCGAGCUCACCAAGCACGCCGUCUCCGAGGGCACCAAGGCCGUCACCAAGUUCACAUCCUCUUAGAUUGUACAUCUAGUAGCAAUUGUAGAUGGUUCUAUUACUUAGUGCUUGUCGACUGUGGCCAGAGGCGGAAUUGGGCCUAGGGCAACUAGGGCUAUAGCCCCAGGCGCGGCCGAACUAGUAGUUAUACGUCCAAAUAAUUUUCUUCCAUUUUUGUACCCCUAAAAGGCCCAGCCCCAGCCAUGUAAACGCAGCCCAGGCAUCAGCCCAGACAAUAGCCCAACUAAGUAUACCUACUUUCCAUCGCAACCAGUUCGCAAUUAGCCCACGAUGCCAUGAUCGCGCGCUCAACCACACCGUAUCUCCUUCUCGCUCGUCUGAUCAGGAAAUAGAUCUGGCUCAAGCAAUCACACUGCGCCGCCAAUUCCCUUCGAGGCCACGAUUGCUCGACUAGAGGGACGAACGUCUAGACCUACGCCCAGUCGGCUGGCGCUCGGAGCCUCGGAUCGGAUCAUCUCUCGCCUCAUCCGAGCUGCCCCCUCUAGCGCUCUGUUCUGCUCCAUCUACACAACCGACUGGAUAUCUAUCCGAUUAGGCUUGUGAUCUCUUGUACCAUGUACUCUUUUUUCCCUAGUUCAUUUUUUAUCAACCGAAAUCAAGGAUUUGGUGAUGCUAAAUUUCAUUUCAUUGUUAUUUGUUAACAGCAAAAAAUUACCAAUCCAAGAUGAUGAAGACCUGGACAAUUAAAUCCUUUUUCAAGCAACAUCCAAAUAGGCUGCAUCAAACAAUACACAUCAACGAAUGACCUUCGGAACGAGUAGGACUCGAAAAAAUACACGAGGAAAUGCAAUGGUCUACUACCUUGUGCACUUGGCCAUAAUAUUUUGUAUUUGUAAUUCAUAUGAACAAUUGACUUAGUACAUGUCCAUUAUCUUGAUUUUAAUUACUCUAUUUUAUGUUUACAGUUCCCGGUCCUUCUAUUAUUGCUGGUGAAGAAUGAUGUCCUCGAAUAAAGCAAGUCUUCACUAAUAUGAUAUCGGGGUUUCUUCUCACAGUAAAAAUGAACUUAUAUUUCACUUUUUGUUAACUAUUUCUUUUGUCGGAUUUCUUCUCUCAGUAAAACUGAACUUAUAUUUCAUUGGUAAUGUGACUUUGUGGUGUACUUUAACAUGCAUCUGUACAUGGUAUUUAAUGUUAUUUGUAGUCCCGCCACAAUUGUUUUUAUUUGUAGUCACUUAAUUUUAGCCCUAGGCUUUGAGAAAUCCUGGCUCCGCCUCUGACUGUGGCUAUCUGGAAGUAGAAGUGGUGUUAGUGUUGGCUGGAUGGGAAUUGUUGAAUGAUUGUCGAUACUCUGUUGGUUCUUUGGUUGCAACUAAACCCAGGCAAACGUCGGGCCGGGUCGGGUUCGGGCCGGGCUUGACAAAGCCCGAAGAGAAAUUCCCAAGCCCGAGCCCGGCCCGGCCCGGCCCGAAGUACAUGAACAGUGACACUUCUUUAUUAAAUUAAUCAUUUUCCGGAUAUUAUAUUAAUUUAUUAUACCUAUAUUUCAAAUAAAAUAUGUUUUUUAUAUAUUUCGGGCUUUAUUCGGGCCGGGCUUCGGGUCAGAAAAUGGAGCCCGAGCCCGGCCCGAAUGUCGGGCUUCGGGUUCGGGCCGACGGGCCGGGUUGUCCAUGACCGGGUAUAGUUGCAACAACUGAAUUUGUGCUUAAAAUCUUUCGGUUAACUGACAUAUUAAAAGUAGUGAUCCAUUUCAGCUAUGAUUACUAGUCUCUACCAUGUGAUUGUGCUUUUUGGUAAUCCAAGUUAUUUAGACUGAUGAUGUGCUGGUGAUACGUCUACAACGUAUCUAUAAUUUUUGAUUGUUUCAUGCUAUUAUAUUACCUGUUUUGGAUGUUUAUGGGCUUUACUUUACACUUUCAUAUCACUUUUGGGACUAACCUACUAACCGGAGGCCCAGCCCGAAUUGUUGUUUUUUUGCCUAUUUCAGUAUGUCGAAGGAAAGGAAUAUCAAACGGAGUGCAAACGGAAUGAAACCUUCGGGAGCGAUCUUUUUGGAACAAACGCAAUCCAGGAGACUUGGAGUGGACGUCAAGAAGCAGCCGAGGCGGCCACGAGGGUGGCUAGCGCGCCCAGUAAGAGUGGGCGCACCCCUGCCUCGUGGGCCCCUCGUGGCUCCCCUGACCGACUUGCUUCGCCUAUAUAUAUCUACGUACCCCGAAAACAUCCACGAGCACCACGAGAAAUUAUUUCCACUGCCGCAAUCUUCUGCAUCCGCGAGAUCCCAUCUUGGAGCCUUCGUCGGUGCUCCGCCGGAGGGGGAAUCGACCACGGAGGCCCUCUCCAUCUCCACCAAGGCCUCUCCGAUGAGUUGUGAGUAGUUUACCACAAACCUUUGGGUCCAUAGUUAUUAGCUAGAUGACUUCUUCUCUCUCUUUGAUUCUCAAUACAAAGUUCUCCUUCCUUUUCUUGGAGAUCUAUUUGAUGUAACUCUUUUUGUGGUGUGUUUGUCGAGAUCCGAUGAAUUGUGGGUUUAUGAUCAAGUUUAUCUAUGAGAAAUAUUUGAAUCUCCUCUAAAUUCUUUUAUGUAUGAUUGGUUAUCUUUGCAAGUCUCUUCAAAUUAUCAGUUUGGUUUGGCCUACUAGAUUGAUCGUUCUUGCCAUGGGAGAAGUGCUUAGCUUUGGGUUCAAUCUUGCGGUGUCCUUUCCCAGUGACAGCAGGUGCAGCAAGGUACGUAUUGUAUUGUUACCAUCAAGGAUAAAAAGAUGGGGUUCAUAUCAUAUUGCAUGAGUUUAUCCCUCUACAUCAUGUCAUCUUGCUUAAUGUGUUACUCUGUUCUUAUGAACUUAAUACUCUAGAUGCAGGCAGGAGUCGGUCGAUGUGUGGAGUAAUAGUAGUAGAUGCAGGCAGGAGUCGGUCUACUUGUUGCGGACGUGAUGCCUAUAUACAUGAUCAUGCCUAGAUAAUCUCAUAACUAUGCACUUUUCUGUCAAUUGCUCGACAGUAAUUUGUUCACCCACCGUAAUAAUUAUGCUAUCUUUAGAGAAGCCACUAGUGAAGCCUAUGGCCCCGGGGUCUAUCUUUCUCACUUUCGCAAGUUACCGUGAAGGGAUUGACAACCCUUUUAUCGCGUUGGUUGCGAGGUUCUUGUUUGUUUGUGUAGGUGCGUGGGACUUUUGAGGAGCCUCCUACUGGAUUGAUACCUUGGUUCUCAAAACUGAGGGAAAUACUUACGCUACUUUGCUGCAUCACCCUUUCCUCUUCAAGGGAAAAACCAACGCAUGCUCAACAGGUAGCAAGAAGGAUUUCUGGCGCCGUUGCCAGGGAGGUCUUCGCUCAAGUCAAGACAUACCAAGUAUCCAUCACAAACUCAUCUCCCUCGCAUUACAUUAUUUGGCAUUUGCCUCUCGUUUUACUCUCCCCCACUUCACCCUUGCCAUUUUAUUCGCCCUUCUUCCGUUCGAUCUUAUGUUUGCUUGUGUCUCCAUGUGCCUUCUAUGUGCUUUCAUCUUUGCUUGCUAAAAAACUAUUGAUAUGGAUCCACUUAAAGUGUUCUACUUGGAUCAUCUUUGAUCCUUAUGCGCUCGUGCUGAAACCCCAACUAGCCUAGUUGAUGGGAAAUCCUUAGAUGAGCAUGCUCAUUUUGUGCGUCAAUGUUUGUUUGAAAAGGGAAGCUCUUAUGGUAUCACAUAAAUAGUUUGCUUUGCUAUGCUUGGAAUCUUUGUGAAAUUUAUGAUUUUACUUGUUGCUCUAAGAACCCUAAAAAACACCUUCCCUACCUAUGUGAGUUUAAUGAUAAUGAAAUCUUAUCUUCUUAUGCAAAAGGUGUUUUAUAGUUACUAUGAUAUCGAACAAAUUGAAGAAUUUGUCGUUUUUAAUGGUGCUCAUGAAGUUGCUUCUUUGAUUAAACAGUAUGAUAUUACUCUCUACAAAUCUGAAAACUCCGACAUACUUAAAUAUUGCUAUGAAAACUUUGCUCAUAAUGCCUAUGUUAAGGAAUUUAUUGAGAGAAUGAUCGUUGCUUUGGAAGAAAAUAAUGAUAUGCAUGAAUCUAUGGAUAAUUAUGAUUCCGAUGAUUUGAUUGAAAUUUCCCUUGAUGAACAUGAUGCUUGCUAUUCUUGUGGCCAUGAUGCCAAUAUUUAUGAAGACGAAUUUGCUAUAGUUCCUUAUGUUAAACAUGAGAUCGUUGCUAUUGCAUCCACACUUGAUAGUUCCCUCGAUGAAAAGCAUGAUUGCAAUGAUGUUACUAUAAAUUCUCUUGAUGUCAAUUGUGCUAAUAAUAUGCAAAAUCCUAAGCUUGGGGAUGCUAGUUUUGCUAUGUCUACUACUUGUUGCAAUGAUCAUGAUUGGGGUGCUUCUUCUUAUGAUCUUGAAAAUUUGUUUAAGCCCCAUAAUGAAUAUGAGAUUGAUAAUAGUGUUUGCAAUAAUAUUGAAAGUGGGUUUGGAAGAGUGUCAACUUUAGAUCCCACAUAUUUGGAUAAUGCUCAAUCUUAUGAAGUUUUUGAUAAAAGUGGGUUUGGAGAGGUCAUGACUUUAGUUAAUGUUAGUCCCACUAUUUUGGAAGAGUGUCAACUUUGCAUGCAUGUGGAUCAUGUUGAAAAUAUUUUGUUUGAUAGUUAUUUUGUUGAAUUUGCUUAUGAUCCUGCAUGUAAUUAUUAUGAGAGAGUAAAAUAUGGUUGUAGAAAUUUUCAUGUUACUAAAUUACCUCUCUUCAUGUUGAGAUUGCUACCGUCUUCUUCCUUGCAUAUGCUAGUUUUUGCUUGCAUUGAUAAUUUGUUUACUUAUAAAAAACCUAUGCAUAGGAAGUAUGUUAUACUUAAGUGUGUUUUUCACAUGUUUUAUGAUGCUCUCUUUAUACUUCAAUUCUUGUCUUUCAUGUGAGCAUCAUUGAAAUCUUAAUGCCUAGCUAAAAAGGCUUUAAAGAAAAGUGUUUGUUGGGAGACAACCCAAUAUUUUUCCUUACUGUUAUUCAAUAAAUAUAUCAUCUACAUUCUAUUUAGAUGUGUUUUCAUAUAUUAAUUAGUGUUUGUGCCAAAUAGAACCUAUAGGAUAACCUUGGGUGAAAGUUAAUUUGAUUCUGCUGAAAAACAGAAACUUUGCGUGCACGAGAAGCAAUUCAAUAAAUCAUAGAAACAUGCUUUUGCAUUGGUUUAUUUUUGUUGUAGAUCAAUAGAUAAAUUACCUAGGACUUCCUAUUUUGGUAGGAUUUUUAGAGUUCCAGAAGUAUUCGAAAGUUACAGAUUGCUACAGACUGUUCUGCUUUUGACAGAUUCUGUUUUUCGUGUGUUGUUUGCUUAUUUUGAUGCAUCUAUGGCUAGUAUCGAUGGGUAUGAACCAUAGAGAAGUUGGAAUACAGUAGGUUUAACACCAAUAUAAAUAAAGAAUGAGUCCAUUACAGUACCUUAUGUGGUGGUUUUUCUUUCUUGCACUAACGGAGCUUAUAAGAUUUCCUGUUGAGUUUUGUGUUGUGAAGUUUUCAAGUUUUGGGUAAAGAUUUGAUGGACUAUGGAAUAAGGAGUGGCAAAAGCCUAAGCUUGGGGAUGCCCCAGAAGGCAUCCCCUCUUUCAUCUUCGUUUAUCGAUAACUUUACUUGGAGCUAUAUUUUUAUUUACCACAUGAUAUGUGUUUUGCUUGGAGCGUCUUGUAUGAUAUGAGUCUUUGCUUUUCAGUUUACCACAAUCAUCCUUUUUGUACACACCUUUUGGGAGAGACCCACAUGAUUUAAAAAAUAUUAGAAUACUCUAUGUGCUUCACUUAUAUCUUUCGAGCUAUAUAGUUUUUCUCUAUGUGCUUCACUUAUAUUUUCUAGAGCACGGCGAUGGCUUUAUUUUGAAGAAAUUAUUGAUCUCUCAUGCUUCACUUAUAUUAUGUUGAGAGUCUUUUAGAACAUCAUGGUAUUUGUUAUGGUUAUAAAUUUGGUCCUAGAAUUAUGAGCAUCCAAGUUGGGUAUAAUAAAAACUAUCAUAUAAAGUGCAUUGAAAACUAUGGUCGAUUUGAUGCUUGAUAAUUGUUUUGAGAUAUAAAGGUAAUAAUGUUAGAGUCGCGCUAGUUGGGUAAUUAUGAAAUUGAGAAAUACUUGUGUUAAAGUUGGCAAGUCCUGUAGCAUGCACGUAUGGUAAAAGUUGUGUGACAAAUUUGUUGCAUGGGAUGCUCUUUGAGUGCUUUCCUUAUGAGUGGCAGUCGGGGACAAUCGAUGGUCUUUUCCUACCAAUCUAUCCCUCUAGGGGCAUGCGUAGUAGUACUUUGCUUUGAGGGCUAAUAAAUUUUUGCAAUAAGUAUAUGAGUUCUUUAUGACUAAUGUGAGUCCAUGGAUAUACGCACACUUACCCUUCCACUUUGCUAGCCUCUAUUAUGUCGCGCAACUUUUGCUGGUAUUAUGAACCCAUUAUUUACCUUCCUCAAAACAGCCACCAUACCUACCUAUUAUGGCAUCUCCAUAGCCAUUCUGAGAUAUAUUGCCAUGCAACUUUCCACCGUUCCGUUUAUAAAGACACACGUUAUCAUUGUCAUAUUGCUCUUGGCAUGAUUAUGUAGUUGACAUAGUAUUUGUGGCAAGGUCACCUUCAUAAUUUUUCAUACAUGUCACUCUUGAUUCAUUGCAUAUCCCGGUACACCACCGGAGGCAUUCACAUAGAGUCAUAUAUUGUUCUAGUUCUUGAGUUGUAAAUCAAUAAAAGUGUGAUGAUCUUCAUUAUUAGAGUGUUGUCCCAAGUGAGGAAAGGAUGAUGAAGACUAUGAUUCCCCCACAAGUCGGGAUGAGACUUCGGACUUUAUAAAAAUAAAAGAGGCCAAAGAAGCCCAUAAAAAGAGAGGCCAAAGAAGCCCACGAAAAUUAAAAAAAAUGAUGAGAGAAAAAGAGAGAAGGGACAAUGCUACUAUCCUUUUACCACAUUUGUGCUUCAAAGUAGCACCAUGAUCUUCAUGAUAGAGAGUCUCCGAUGUUGUCACUUUCUUAUACUAGUGGGGAAUUUUCAUUAUAGAACUUGGCUUGUAUAUUCCAAUGAUGGGCUUCCUCAAAACGCCCUAGGUCUUUGUGAGCAAGCAAGUUGGAUGCACACCCACUUAGUUUCUUUUGUUGAGCUUUCAUAUAUUUAUAGCUCUAGUGCAUCCGUUGCAUGGCAAUCCCUACUCACUCGCAUUGAUAUCUAUUAAUGGGCAUCUCCAUAGCCCGUUGACACGCCUAGUUGAUGUGAGACUAUCUUCUCCCUCUUUGUCUUCAUAACCACCACCAUAUACCACACAUAUUGCUAUGUCCAUGGCUUGCGCUCAUGUAUUGCGUAAGAAUUGAAAAGGCUGAAGCGCUUAAAAAAUAUGAACCAAUUGCUCGGCUCGUCAUCGGGGUUAUGCAUAAGGGGAGUAUUUUGUGUGAUAGAGAUCAAGCAUGGCCUAACUAUAUGAUUUUGUAGGGAUGAGCUUUCUUUGGCUAUGCUAUUUUGAUAGGACAUGAUUAUUUGCUAGUAUGCUUCGAAGUAUUACUGUUUUUUAUGUUUUAUAAGCUUUUAUCUUGAAUCAUUUGGAUCUGAACAAUCAUGCCACAAUAAAGAGAACUACAUUGAGAAUUAUGCUAGGUAGCAUUCCACAUCAAAAAUUCUGUUUUUAUCAUUUACCUACUCGAGGACGAGCAGGAAUUAAGCUUGGGGAUGCUUGAUACGUCUCUAACAUAUCUAUAAUUUUUGAUUGUUUCAUGAUAUUAUAUUACCUGUUUUGGAUAUUUAUGGGCUUUACUUUACACUUUUAUAUCAUUUUUGGGACUAACCUACUAACCGGAGGCCCAGCCUGAAUUGCUGUUUUUUGUGCCUAUUUCAGUAUAUCGAAGGAAAGGAAUAUCAAACGGAGUCCAAACAGAAUGAAACCUUCGGGAGCGAUCUUUUUGGAACAAACGCAAUCCAGGAGACUUGGAGUGGACGUCAAGAAGGAGCCGAGGCGGCCACGAGGGUGGCCGGCGCGCCCAGUAAGGGUGGGCGCGCCCCCUGCCUCGUGGGCCCCACAUGGCUCCCCUGACCGACUUCCUUCACCUAUAUAUAUCUACGUACCCCGAAAACAUCCAGGAGCACCACGAGAAAUUAUUUCCACCGCAGCAACCUUUUGUAUCCGCGAGAUCCCAUCUUCGAGACUUCACCGGCGCUCCGCGGAGGAGGAAUCGACCACGGAGGGCCUCUUCAUCACCACCAAGGCCUCUCCGAUGAGUUGUGAGUAGUUUACCACAGACCUUCGGGUCCAUAGUUAUUAGCUAGAUGGCUUCUUCUCUCUCUUUGAUUCUUAAUACAAAGUUCUCCUUCCUCUUCUUGGAGAUCUAUUCGAUGUAACUCUUUUUGCGGUGUGUUUGUUGAGAUCCGAUGAAUUAUGGGUUUAUGAUCAAGUUUAUCUAUGAGAAAUAUUUGAAUCUCCUCUGAAUUCUUUUAUGUAUGAUUGGUUAUCUUUGCAAGUCUCUUCGAAUUAUCAGUUUGGUUUGGCCUACUAGAUUGAUCUUUCUUGCCAUGGGAGAAGUGUUUAGCUUUGGGUUCAAUCUUGUGUUGUCCUUUCCCAGUGACAGUAGGGGCAACAAGGCACAUAUUGUAUUGUUUCUAUCAAGGAUAAAAAGAUGGGGUUUAUAUCAUAUUGCAUGAGUUUAUCCCUCUACAUCAUGUCAUCUUGCUUAAUGCGUUACUCUGUUCUUAUGAAUUUAAUACUCUAGAUGCAGGCAGGAGUCGGUCGAUGUGUGGAGUAAUAGUAGUAGAUGCAGGCAGGAGUCGGUCUACUUGUUGCGGACGUGAUGCCUAUACACAUGAUCAUGCCUAGAUAAUCUCAUAACUAUGCAUUUUUCUAUCAAUUGCUCGAUAGUAAUUUGUUCACCCACCGUAAUAAUUAUGCUAUCUUGAGAGAAGCCACUAGUGAAACCUAUGGCCCUGGGGUCUAUCUUUUAUCAUAUAAGUUUUCCAUCUACUUUUAUUUGCAUCUUUUACUUUCCAAUCUAUAUCAUAAAAAUACCAAAAAUAUUUAUCUUAUCAUAUUAUCUCUAUCAGAUCUUACUUUCGCAAGUUACCGUGAAGGGAUUGACAACCCCUUUCGUCGGACUUUUGAGGAGCCUCCUACUGGAUUGAUACCUUGAUUCUCAAAACUGAGGGAAAUACUUACGCUACUUUGCUGCAUCACCCUUUCCUCUUCAAGGGAAAAACCAACGCAUGCUUAAGUGGUAGCAGCUGGCAGUAAGUUACGCUUAUUCGUUAGGUCCUCUUGAAUGUCCGAAUUGGGUUUAACUGAGAUUUACUGCUGAGAUGAUCAAUAAGAUGGCUGAUACGUCUCCAACGUAUCUAUAAUUUUUGAUUUUUUGAUUGUUCCAUGCUAUUAUAUUACCUGUUUUGGAUGUUUAUGGGCUUUACUUUACACUUUUAUAUCAUUUUUGGGACUAACCUAUUAACCGGAGGCCCAACCUGAAUUCCUGUUUUUUUGCCUAUUUCAGUGUUUCGAAGAAAAGGAAUAUCAAACGGAGUCCAAACGGGAUGAAACCUUCGGGAGCGAUCUUUUUGGAACAAAUGCAAACCAGGGGACUUGGAGUGGAUGUCAAGCAACGAGCGAGGCGGUCACGGUGCCCGGCGCGCCCUGUAAGGGUGGGCAUGCCCCCCUGCCUCGUGGGCCCCUCGUGGCUCCCCUGACCGACUUCCUUCAUCUAUAUAUAUCUACGUACCCCGAAAACAUCCUGGAGCACCACGAGAAAUUAUUUCCACCGCAACAACCUUCUGUAUCCGCGAGAUCCCAUCUUCGAGCCUUUGCCGGCGCACGUCGGAGGGGGAAUCAACCACGGAGGGCCUCUACAUCAUCUCCAAGGCCUCUCCGAUGAGUUGUGAGUAGUUUACCAUAGACCUUUGGGUCCAUAGUUAUUAGCUAGAUGGCUUCUUCUCUCUCUUUGAUUCUCAAUACAAAGUUCUCCUUCCUCUUCUUGGAGAUCUAUUAGAUGUAACUCUUUUUGCAGUGUGUUUGUCAAGAUCCGAUGAAUUGUGGGUUUAUGAUCAAGUUUAUCUAUGAGAAUUAUUUGAAUCUCCUCUGAAUUCUUUUAUGUAUGAUUGGUUAUCUUUGCAAGUCUCUUCGAAUUAUCAGUUUGGUUUGGCCUACUAGAUUGAUCUUUCUUGCCAUAGGAGAAGUGCUUAGCUUUGGGUUCAAUCUUGCGAUGUCCUUUCCCAGUGACAACAGGGGCAGCAAGGCACGUAUUGUAUUGUUGUCACCGAGGAUAAAAAGAUGGGGUUUAUAUCAUAUUGCAUGAGUUUAUCCCUCUACAUCAUGUCAUCUUGCUUAAUGUGUUACUCUGUUCUUAUGAACUUAAUACUCUAGAUGCAGGCAGGAGUCGGUCGAUGUGUGGAGUAAUAGUAGUAGAUGCAGAAUCGUUUCGAUCUACUUGUUGCGGACGUGAUGCCUAUAUACAUGAUCAUGCCUAGAUAUUUUCAUAACUAUGCACUUUUCUAUCAAUUGCUCGACAAUAAUUUGUUCACCCACCGUAAUACUUAUGCUAUCUUGAGAGAAGCCACUAGUGAAACCUAUGCCCCCCGGGUCUAUCUUUUAUCAUAUAAGUUUUCCAUCUACUUUUAUUUGCAUUUUUUACUUUCCAAUCUAUAUCAUAAAAAUACCAAAAAUAUUUAUCUUAUCAUAUUAUUUCUAUUAGAUCUCACUUUUGCAAGUUUCCGUGAAGGGAUUGACAACCCCUUUAUCGCAUUGGUUGCGAGGUUCUUGUUUGUUUGUGUAGGCGCGUGGGACUUGUGAGGAGCCUCCUACUGGAUUGAUACCUUGGUUCUCAAAAUCGAGGGAAAUACUUACGCUACUUUGCUGCAUCACCCUUUCCUCUUCAAGGGAAAAACCAACGCAUGCUCAAGAGGUAGCAAGAAGGAUUUCUGGCGCCGUUGCCGGGAGGUCUUCGCUCAAGUCAAGACAUACCAAGUACCCAUCACAAACUCAUCUCCCUCGCAUUACAUUAUUUGCCAUUUGCCUCUCGUUUUCCUCUCCCCCACUUCACCCUUGCCGUUUUAUUUGCCCUUCUUCUAUUCGUCUUUUCGUUUUCUUUGAUGUCUUAGUUGCCUCGUUUGCUUGUUUUGUUGGAAUAGUUGUUUAUUUAUUGCUAAAAAGAGAACCUAAGAUCUAUGGAUCCUCAUCCGCUUGCCAAUCUUUUUAAGAGAUCCAAUUAUGAUGAACCAAAUUCUAGUGAUUUGAGUGCACUAGAUUAUCUUUAUGAGAUUUUGCUUGAAAUUCGUGAACCUGAAAAUUGUGAUGAAGAAAUUUAUGAAGAGAUUCACAAUAGCUCCUUGAAUAAAAAGCAUGAUUGCAAUGAUUUUAUUAUAAAUUCUAUUAAUGUCAAUUGUGUUAAUGAUAUGCAAAACCCUAAGCUUGGGGAUGCUAGUUUUGCUAUGUCCACUACUUGUUGCAAUGAUCAUGAUUGAGGUGAUUCUUCUUAUAAUCUUGAAAUUUUAUUUAAGCCCCACGAUGAAUAUGAGAUUGAUAAUAAUGUUUGCAAUAAUACUGAAUGUGGGUUUGGAAGAGUGUCAACUUUAGGUCCCACAUAUUUGGAUAAUGUUCAAUCUUAUGAAGUUUUUGAUAAAAGUGGGUUUGGAGAGGUCAUGACUUUAGUUAAUGUUAAUCCCACGAUUUUGGAAGAGUGUCAACUUUGCAUGCAUGUGGACUGUGUUGAGAAUAUGUUAUGUGAUAACUAUUUUGUUGAAUUUUCUUAUGAUCCUACAUGUAAUUUUUAUGAGAGAGGAAAAUAUGGUUGUAGAAAUUUUCAUGUUACUAAAUUACCUCUCCUCAUGUUGAGAUUGUUAUCGUCUUCUUCCUUGCAUAUGCUAGUUUUUGCUUGCCUUGCAAAUUUGUUUGCUUAUAAUAUGCCUAUGUAUAGGAAGUAUGUUAGACUUAGAUGUGUUUGUCACAUGUUUUAUGAUGCUCUCUUUAUGCUUCAAUUCUUGUUUUUUAUGUGAGCAUCAUUGAAAUCUCAAUGCCUAGCUAAAAAGGCUUUAAGGAAAAGCGCUUGUUGGGAGACAACCCAAUAUUUUUCCUUGAUGUUAUUCAAUAAAUAAUAAAUCUAGCUUGUGGUCAGAUGUUUUUUUAUGUUUUAAUUAGUGUUUGUGCCAAGUAGAACCUAUAGGAUAACUUAUGGUGAUAGUUAAUUUGAUUCUGCCGAAAAACAGAAACUUUGCGCGCACGAGAAAAAAAUCAAUAAAUCACAGAAAUGUGCUUUUGCGUUGAUUAUUUUUUAUGUAGAUCAAUAGACAAAUUAACUAGGACGUACUAUUUUGGUAGGAUUUUUGGAGUUCCAGAAGUAUUCGAAAGUUACAGAUUGCUACAGACUGUUCUACUUUUGACAGAUUCUGUUUUUCGUAUGUUGUUUGCUUAUUUUGAUGCAUCUAUGGCUAAUAUCGGGGGGUAUGAACCAUAUAGAAGUUGGAAUACAGUAGGGUUAACACCAAUAUAAAUAAAGAAUGAGUUCAUUACAGUACCUUAUGUGGUGGUUUUUCUUUCUUGCACUAACGGAGCUUAUGAGAUUUCCUGUUGAGUUUUGUGUUGUGAAGUUUUCAAGUUUUGGGUAAAGAUUUAAUGGACUAUGAAAUAAGGAGUGGCAAGAGCCUAAGCUUGGGGAUGCCCAUGGCACCCCAAGAUAUUCAAGGAUGACCAAGAGCCUAAGCUUGGGAUGCCCCGGAAGGCAUCCCCUCUUUUGUCUUCGUCUAUCAGUAACUAUACUUGGAGCUAUAUUUUUAUUCGCCACAUGAUAUGUGUUUUGCUUGGAGCGUCUUGUAUGAUAUGAGUCUUUGAUUUUUAUAUUACCACAAUCAUCCUUGAUGUACACACCUUUUGGGAGAAAUCCACACGUUUUGGAAUUUAUUAGAAUACUCUAUGUGCUUCACUUAUAUCUUUUGAGCUAGAUAAUUUUUGCUCUAGUGCUUCACUUAUAUCUUUUAGAGCACGACGGUGGUUUAAUUUUGUAGAAAUUGUUGAUCUCUCAUGCUUCACUUAUAUUAUUUUGAGAGUCUUUUAGAACAACAUGGUAUUUGCUAUGGUUAUAAAAUUGGUCCUAGAAUGAUGAGCAUCCAAGUUGGGUAUAAUAAAAACUAUCAUAGAAAGUGAAUUGGAUGAUAUGAUCAAUUUGAUGCUUGCUAAAUGUUUUGAGAUAUGGAUGGUGAUAUUAGAGCCAUGCUAGUAGGGUAAUUAUGAAUUUAAGGAAUACUUGUGUUGAAGUUUGUGAUUUCCGUAGCAUGCACGUAUGGUGAACCGCUUUGUGAUGAAGUUGGAGCACGGUUUAUUUAUUGAUUGUCUUCCUUAUGAGUGGCGGUCGGGGACGAGCGAUGAUAUUUUCCUACUAAUCUAUCCCCCUAGGAGCUGUUGGGGAACGUAGUAAUUUCAAAAAAAUUCCUACGCUCACACAAGAUCAUGGUGAUGCAUAGCAAUGAGAGGGGAGAGUGUGUCCACGUACCCUCGCAAACCGAAAGCGGAAGCGUUAGCACAACGCGGUUGAUGUAGUCGUACGUCUUCACGAUCCGAUCAAUCAAGUACCGAAUGCACGACACCUCUGAGUUCAACACACGUUCAACUCGAUGACGUCCCUUGAACUCCGAUCCAACCGAGCUUUGAGGGAGAGUUCCGUCAGCACGACGGCGUGGUGACGAUGAUGAUGUUCUACCGACGCAGGGCUUCGCCUAAGCACCGCUAUGAUAUUAUCGAGGUGGAUUAUGGUGGAGGGGGGCACCGCACAUGGCUAAGAGAUCCAAGGGAUCAAUUGUUGUCUCUAUGGGGUGCCCCCCUUCGUAUAUAAAGGAGGGGAGGAGAGGUCCGACCAGGAGGAGGAGGCACGCCCAAGCGGUGGGAGACCGGGAGUAGGACUCCUCCUUUUCCUACUUGUAGAGGGAGAGGGAAGGAAGAGGACGGAUGGAGGAAGGAAAGGGGGGGGGCGGCCCCUCCCAAUUCGGAUUGGGCUUGGGGGGGGGGGGCGCACCCCCUCCCUUGCUCCUUUCCCCUCCUUUCCACUAAAGCCCAUUAAGGCCCAUAUACCUCUCGGGGGGUUCCGAUAACCUCUCGGUGCUUCGGUAUUAUCCUGAUCUCACCCGGAACCAUUCCAGUGUCCAAAUAUAGUCGUCCAAUAUAUCGAUCUUUACGUCUUGACCAUUUCGAGACUCCUCGUCAUGUCCGUGAUCACAUCCAGGACUCCGAACUACCUUCGGUACACAAAACACAUAAAAUCAUAAUAUAACAGUCAUCGAACUUUAAGCGUGCGGACCCUACGGGUUCGAGAACUAUGUAGACAUGACCGAGACACGUCUCCGGUCAAUAACCAAUAGUGGAACCUGGAUGCUCAUAUUGGCUCCCACAUAUUCUACGAAGAUCUUUAUUAUUCAAACUGCAUAACAACAUACGUUGUUCCCUUUGUCAUCGGUAUGUUACUUGCCCGAGAUUCAAUCGUCGGUAUCUCAAUACCUAGUUCAAUCUCGUUACUGGCAAGUCUCUUUACUCGUUCCAUAAUACAUCAUCUCGCAACUAACGCAUUAGUUGCAAUGCUUGCAAGGCUUAUAUUUAUGUGCAUUACUGAGUGGGCCCAGAGAUACCUCUCUGACAAUCGGAGUGACAAAUCCUAAUCUCGAAAUACGCCAACCCAACAAGUACCUUUGGAGACACCUGUAGAGCACCUUUAUAAUCACCCAGUUACGUUGUGACGUUUGGUAGCACACAAAGUGUUCCUCCGGUAAACGGGAGUUGCAUAAUCUCAUAGUCAUAGGAACAUGUAUAAGUCAUGAAGAAAGCAAUAGCAACAUACUAAAUGAUCAAGUGCUAAGCUAACGGAAUGGGUCAAGUCAAUCACAUCAUUCUCCUAAUGAUGUGAUCCCGUUAAUCAAAUGACAAUUCAUGUCUAUGGCUAGGAAACUUAACCAUCUUUGAUUCAACGAGCUAGUCAAGUAGAGGCAUACUAGUGACACUCUGUUUGUCUAUGUAUUCACACAUGUACUAAGUUUCCGGUUAAUACAAUUCUAGCAUGAAUAAUAAACAUUUAUCAUGAAAUAAGGAAAUAAAUAAUAACUUUAUUAUUGCCUCUAGGGCAUAUUUCCUUCAGUCUCCCACUUGCACCAGAGUCAAUAAUCUAGUUCACAUCACCAUGUGAUUUAACACAAAUAUUCACAUCUGUAUGUGAUUAACACCCAUAGCUCAUAUCGUCAUGUGACCAACACCCAAAGGGUUUACUAGAGUCAAUAAUCUAGUUCACAUUGUUAUGUGAUUAACACCCAAAGAGUACUAAGUUGUGAUCAUGUUUUGCUCAUGAGAGAAGUUUAGUCAACGGGUCUGUCACAUUCAGAGCCGUAUGUAUUUUGCAAAAUAUUCUAUGUCUUCAAUGCUCUACACGGUGCUACUCUAGCUAAUUGUCCCACUUUCAAUAUAUAUCCAGAUUGAGACUUAGAGUUAUCUGGAUCGGUGUAAAAGCUUGCAUCAACGUAACUCUUUAUGACGAGCUCUUUUAUCACUUCCAUAAUUGAGAAGUAUUUCCUUAGUCUUCACUAAGGAUAAUUUUGACCGCUGUCCAAUGAUCUACUCCUAGAUCACUAUUGUACUCUCUUGCCAUACUCCUGGUGAGGUACACAAUAGGUCUGCUACACAACAUAGCAUACUUUAUAGAACCUAUGACUGAGGCAUAGGGAAUGACUUUUCAUUAUCUUUCUAUUUUUCUGCCAUGGUCGGGAUUUGAGUCUUACUCAACUUCACACCUCGCAACACAGGCAAGAACUCCUUUUUGACUGUUCCAUUUUGAACUACUUCAAAAUCUUAUCAAGGUAUGUACUCAUUGAAAAAUCUUAUCAAGCGUCUUGAUCUAUCUCUAUAGAUCUUGAUGCUCAAUGUGUAAGUAGCUUCACCGAGGUCUUUCAUUGAAAAACUCUUAUUCAAGUAUCCCCUUUUGCUAUCUAGAAAUUCUAUAUCAUUUCCAAUCAACAAUAUGUCAUCCACAUAUAAUAUUAGAAAUGUUAUAGAGAUCCCACUCACUUUCUUGUAAAUAUAGGCUUCUCCAAAAGUCUGUAUAAACCCCUAUGUUUUGAUCAACUCAUCAAAGCGUAUAUUCCAACUCCGAGAUGCUUGCACCAGUCCGUUGAUGGAUCGCUAGAGCUUGCACAUUUUGUUAGCACCUUUAGGAUUGACAAAACCUUCUGGUUGUAUCAUAUACAACACUUCUUUAAGAAAUAUCCAUUUAAGGAAUGCAGUUUUGACAUCCAUUUUCCAGAUUUCAUAAAAUGUGGCAAUUGCUAACAUGAUUCGGACAGACUUAAGCAUCGUUACGAGUGAGAAAAUCUCAUCGUAUUCAACAUCUUGAACUUGUCGAAAACCUUUCACAACAAGUCGAGCUUUGUAGAUAGUAACACUACUAUCAGUGUCCAUCUUCCUCUUGAAGAUCCAUUUAUUUAACUUGGCUUGCUGAUCAUCGAGCAAGUCAACCAAAGUCCAUACUUUGUUCCCAUACAUGGAUCCUAUCUCAGAUUUUAUGGCCUCAAGCCAUUUCGCGAAAUCUGGGCUCAUCAUUGCUUCCUCAUAGUUCAUAGGUUCAUCAUGGUCUAGUAACAUGACUUCCACAAUAGGAAUACCGCACCACUCUGGUGCGGACCAUACUCUGGAAGACCUACGAGGUUAUGUAGUAACUUGAUCUGAAGUUUCAUGAUCAUCAUCAUUAGCUUCCUCACUAAUUGGUGUAGGAAUCACUGGAACUGAUUUCUGUGAUGAACUACUUUCCAGUUCAGGAGAAGGUACAAUUAACUCAUCAAGUUCUACUUUCCUCUCACUCACUUCUUUCGAGAGAAACUCAUUCUCUAGAAAGGAUCCAUUCUUAGCAACGAUCUUGCCUUCGGAUCUGCGAUAGAAGGUGUACCCAACAGUUUCCUUUGGGUAUCCUAUGAAGAUGCAUUUCUCUGAUUUUGGGUUCAAGCUUAUCAGAUUAAAGCCUUUUCACAUAAGCAUCGCAGCCCCAAACUUUUAAGAAACGACAACUUUGGUUUCUUGCCAAACCACAGUUCAUAAGGUGUCAUCUCAACGGAUUUUUGAUUGUGCCCUAUUUAAAGCGAAUGUAGCUGUCUCUAAUGCAUAACCCCAAAACGAUAGUGGUAAUCUGGUAAGAGACAUCAUAGAUCACACCAUAUCCAAUAAAGUGCGGUUACGACGUUCGGACACACCAUUACGCUGUGUUGUUCCAUGUGGCGUGAGCUGUGAAACUAUUCCACAUUGUUUUAAAUGAAGGACAAACUCGUAACUCAAAUAUUCUCCUCCACGAUCAGAUCGUAGAAACUUUAUUUUCUUGUUACGAUGAUUCUCCACUUCACUCUGAAUUUCUUUGAACUUUUCAAAUGUUUCAGACUUGUGCUUCAUUAAGUAGAUAUACUCAUAUCUGCUCAAAUCAUCUUGUGAAGGUCAGAAAAUAAUGAUACCCGCCACGAGCAUCAACACUCAUUGGACUGCAUACAUCGGUAUGUAUAAUUUCCAAUAAGUCACUAGCUCAUUCCAUUGUUUUGGACAACAGAGUUUCAGUCAUCUUGCCCAUAAGGCACGGUUCGCAAGCAUCAAAUGAUUCAUAAUCAAGUGAUUCCAAAAGUCCAUCUAUAUGGAGUUUCUUCAUGUGCUUUACACGGAUAUGACCCAAACGGCAGUGCCACAAAUAUGCUGCACUAUCAUUAUCAACUUUGCAUCUUUUGGCAUCAAUAUUAUGAAUAUGUGUAUUACUACGAUCAAGAUUCAAUAAACCAUCAACAUUGGGUGUAUGACCAUAGAAGGUUUUAUUCAUAUAAACAGAAUAACAAUUUAUUCUCCAUCUUAGAUGAAUAAUCGUAUCGCAAUAAACAUGAUCUAAUCAUAUUUAUGCUCAACGCAAACACCAAAUAACAUUUAUUUAGGUUCUACACUAAUCUCGAAAGUAUAGGGAGUGUACGAUGAUGAUCAUAUCAAUCUUGGAACCACUUCCAACACACAUCGUCACUUCAUCCUCAACUAGUCUCUGUUUAUUCUGUAACUCCUGUUUUGAGUUACUAAUCUUAGCAACCGAACAAGUAUCAAAUACUCAGGGAUUACUAUAAACACUAGUAAGGUACACAUCAAUAACUUGUAUAUCAAAUAUACAUUUGUUCACUUUGCCAUCCUUCUUAUCCACCAAAUAUUCAGGGCAUUUCCGCUUCCAGUGACCAUUUCAUUUGUAGUAGAAGCACUUAGUUUCAGGCUUUGGUCUAGCUUUGGGCUUCUUCACGAGAGUGACAACUAGCUUGCCAUUCUGCUUGAAGUUCCCUUUCUUUCCCUUUGCCCUUUUCUUGAAACUAGAGGUCUUAUCAAUCAUCAACACUUGAUGCUCUUUUCUUGAUUUCUACCUUCAUCGAUUUCAGCAUCACGAAGAGCUCGGGAAUCAUUUUCUUCAUCCCUUGCAUACUAUAGUUCAUCACGAAGUUCCAGUAACUUGGUGAUGGUGACUAGAGAACUCUGUCAAUCACUAUCUUAUCCGAAAGAUUAACUCCCAUUUGAUUCAAGCGAUUGUAGUACUCAGAGAAUCUAAGCACUUGCUCACUAGUUGAGCAAUUCUCCUCCAUGUUUUAGGUGAAGUAUUUGUCAUAGGUCUCAUACCUCUUGACACGGGCAUUAGUCUGAAAUACCAAUUUCAACUCUUGGAACAUCUCAUAUGCUCAAUGACGUUUCAAAAACAUUUUGAAGUCCUGGUUCUAAGCCGUAAAGUGUGGUGCACUAAACUAUCAAGUAGUCAUCAUAUUGAGCUAGCCAAACGUUCAUAACGUCUGCAUCUUCUCCUGCAAUAGGUUUGUCACCUAGCGGUGCAUCAAGGACAUAAUUCUUCUGUGCAGCAAUGAGGAUAAACCUCAGCUCAUAGACACAGUCCGCAUCAUUGCUACUAUCAUCUUUCAACUUAGUUUUCUCUAGGAACAUAUAAAAAACAUAGGGAAGCAACAACGCGAGCUAUUGAUCUACAACAUUAUUUGCAAAAUACUACCAGGACUAAGUUCAUGAUAAAUUUUAGUUCAAUUAAUCAUAUUACUUAAGAACUCCCACUUAGGAUAGACAUCCCUCUAAUCAUCUAAGUGAUCACGUGAUCCAAAUCAACUAAACCAUAACCGAUCAUCACGUGAAAUGGAGUAGUUUUCAAUGGUGAAUAUCACUAUGUUGAUCAUAUCUACUAUAUGAUUCAUGCUCGACCUUUCGGUCUUAGUGUUUCGAGGCCAUAUCUGCAUAUCCUAGGCUCGUCAAGUUUAACCUGAGUAUUCUGCGUGUGCAAAACUGGCUUGCAGCCGUUGUAGAUGGACGUAGAGCUUAUCACACCCGAUCAUCACGUGGUGUCUGGGCACGACGAACUUUGGCAACGAUGCAUACUCAGGGAGAACACUUUUAUCUUGAAAUUUAGUGAGAGGUCAUCUUAUAAUGCUAUCGUCAAUCAAAGCAAGAUAAGAUGCAUAAAGGAUAAACAUCACAUGCAAUCAAUAUAAGUGAUAUGAUAUGGUCAUCAUCAUCGUGUGCUUGUGAUCUCCAUCUCCGAAGCACCGUCAUGAUCACCAUCGUCACCGGCGUGACACCUUGAUCUCCAUCAUAGCAUCGUUGUUGUCUCACCAACUAUUGCUUCUACGACUAUCGCUACCGCUUAGUGAUAAAGUAAAGAAAUUACAGGGCGUUUGCAUUGCAUACAAUAAAGCGACAACCAUAUGGCUCCUGCCAGUUGCCGAUAACUUGGUUACAAAACAUGAUCAUCUCAUACAAUAAAAUAUAGCAUCACGUCUUGACCAUAUCACAUCACAUCAUGCCCUGCAAAAACAAGUUAGACGUCCUCUACUUUGUUGUUGCAAGUUUUACGUGGCUGCUACGGGCUGAGCAAGAACCAUUCUUACCUACACAUCAAAACCACAACGAUAGUUUGUCAAGUUAGUGCUGUUUUAACCUUCUCAAGGACCGGGCAUAGCCACACUCAGUUCAACUAAAGUUGGAGAAACUGACACCCGCUAGCCACCUAUGUGCAAGGCACGUCGGUAGAACCAGUCUCGCGUAAGCGUACGCGUAAUGUCGUUCCAGGCCGCUUCAUCCAACAAUACUGCCGAACCAAAGUAUGACACGCUGGCAAGCAGUAUGACUUGUAUCACCCACAACUCACUUGUGUUCUACUCGUGCAUAUAACAUCUACGCAUAAAACCAGGCUCGGAUGCCACUGUUGGGGAACGUAGUAAUUUCAAAAAAAAUUCCUACGCACACAUAGGAUCAUGGUGAUGCAUAGCAACGAGAGGGGAGAGUGUGUCCACGUACCCUCGUAGACCGAAAGCGGAAGCAUUAGCACAACGCGGUUGAUGUAGUCGUACGUCUUCACGAUCCGACUGAUCAAGUACCGAACACAAGGCACCUCCGAGUUCAGCACACGUUCAACUCGAUGAUGUCCCUCGAACUCCGAUCCAGCCGAGCUUUGAGGGAGAGUUCCGUCAGCACGACGGCGUGGUGAUGAUGAUGAUGUUCUACCGACGCAGGGCUUUGCCUAAGCACCGUUACAAUAUUAUCGAGGUGGAUUAUGGUGGUGGGGGCACCGCACACGGCUAAGAGAUCCAAGAGAUCAAUUGUUGUCUCUAUGGGGUGCCCCCCUCCUCCGUAUAUAAAGGAGGGGAGGAGAGGGCCGGCCAGGAGGUGGAGGCGCGCCCAAGGGGGGGAGACCUACUCCCACCGGGAGUAGAACUCCUCCUUUUCCUACUUGGAGAGGGAGAGGGAAGGAAGAGGAAGGAGGGAGGAAGGAAAGGGGGGCUGCUACGUCUUGAGCUUGUGUUGGUUUUCCUUGAAGAGGAAAGGGUGACGCAGCAAUAGUAGCGUAAGUAUUUCCCUCGGUUUUUGAGAACCAAGGUAUCAAUCCAGUAGGAGGCUCCUCAAAUGUCCCACGACCUACACAAAUAAACAAAGAACUCGCAACCAAUGCAAUAAAGGGGUUGUCAAUCCCUUCACGGCCACUUGCAAAAGUGAGAUCUGAUAGAGAUAAUAUGAUAAGAUAAAUAUAUUUUUGGUAUUUUAUAAUAUAGAUGCAGAAAGUAAAGAUGCAAAUAAAAGUAGAUUGAAAGCUUACAUGAUAAAAGAUAGACCCGGGGGCCAUAGGUUUCACUAGUAGCUUCUCUCAAGAUAGCAUAAGUAUUACGGUGGGUGAACAAAUUACUGUCGAGCAAUUGAUAGAAAAGAGAAUAAUUAUGAGAUUAUCUAGGCAUGAUCAUGUAUAUAGGCAUCACGACCGUGACAAGUAGACCGACUCCUGCCUGCAUCUACUACUAUUACUCCACACAUCGACCGCUAUCCACCAUGCAUCUAGAGUAUUAAGUUCAUAAGAACAGAGUAACGCAUUAAGAAAGAUGACAUGAUGUAGAGGGAUAAACUCAAGCAAUAUGAUAUAAACCCCAUCUUUUUAUCCUCGAUGGCAACAAUACAAUAUGUGCCUUGCAACCCUUUCUGUCACUGGGUAAGGACACCGCAAGAUUGAACCCAAAGCUAAGCACUUCUCCCAUGGCAAGAAAGAUCAAUCGAGUAGGCCAAACCAAACUGAUAAUUCGAAGAGACUUGCAAAGAUAACUCAAUCAUACAUAAAAGAAUUCAGAGAAGAUUCAAUUAUUUCUCAUAGAUAAACUUGAUCACAAACCCACAAUUCAUCGGAUCUCGACAAACACACCGCAAAAAGAGUUUACAUCAAAUAGAUCUCCACAAGAGAGGGGGAGAACAUUGUAUUGAGAUCCAAAAAGAGAGAAGAAGCCAGCUAGCUAAUAACUAUGGACCCAAAGGUCUAUGGUAAACUACUCACAACUCAUCGAAAGGGCUAUGGUGUUGAUGUAGAAGCCCUCCAUGGUGGAUUCCCCCUCCGGCAGAACGCCGGCGACGGCUCCAAGAUGGGAUCUCGCGGGUACAGAAGGUUACGGUGGCGGAAAUAUUUCUUCGGUGGCUCCUUGUAUGUUUUCGGGGUACGGAGGUAUAUAUAGGAGGAAGAAGUACGUCGGUGGCCGCUCGAGGGGCCCAAGAGACAGUGGGGCGCGCCCAGAAGGAGUGGGCGCGCCCUCCUAUCUCCUGGCCGCCUUGAUUGCUUCUUGACUUGCACUCCAAGUCCUCUGGAUCAUGUUCGUUCCAAAAAUCACGCUCCCAAAGGUUUCGUUCUGUUUGGACUCCGUUUGAUCCUUUUCUUCGAAAUACUGAAAUAGGCAAAAAAAAGCAAUACGGGCUGGGCCUCCGGUUAGUAGGUUAGUCCCAAAAAUGAUAUAAAUAUGUAAAAUAAAGCCCAUAAACAUCCAAAAGGGGUAAUAUAAUAGCAUGGAACAAUCAAAAAUUAUAGAUACGUUGGAGACAUAUCACCUCCCCCCUCCCAAUUCGGAUUGGGCUUGGGCGGGGGGGGGCCCUCCCUUGCUCCUUUCCCCUAAAGCCCAUUAAGGCCCAUAUACCUCCCGGGGGGGGGGGGUUCCGAUAACCUCCCGGUGCUCCGGUAUUAUCCUGAUCUCACCCGGAACCAUUCCGGUGUCCAAAUAUAGUCGUCCAAUAUAUUGAUCUUUACAUCUCGACCAUUUCGAGACUCCUCGUCAUGUCCGUGAUCACAUCCAGGGCUCCGAACUACCUUCGGUACAUCAAAACACAUAAACUCAUAAUAUAACCGUCAUCAAACUUUAAGCGUGCGGACCCAACGGGUUCGAGAACUAUGUAGACAUGACCGAGACACGUCUCCGAUCAAUAACCAAUAGCGGAACUUGGAUGCUCAUAUUGGCUCCCACAUAUUCUAUGAAGAUCUUUAUCGGUCAAACCGCAUAACAACAUACGUUGUUCCCUUUGUCAUCGGUAUGUUACUUGCCCGAGAUUCGAUCGUCGGUAUCUCAAUACCUAGUUCAAUCUCAUUACUGGCAAGUCUCUUUACUCGUUCCGUAAUACAUCAUCUCGCAACUAACUCAUUAGUUGCAAUGCUUGCAAGGCUUAUAUUUAUGUGCAUUACCGAGUGGGCCCAGAGAUACCUCUCUGACAAUCGGAGUGACAAAUCCUAAUCUCGAAAUACGCCAACCUAACAAGUACCUUUGGAGACACCUGUAGAGCACCUUUAUAAUCACCCAGUUACGUUGUGACGUUUGGUAGCACACAAAGUGUUCCUCCGGCAAACGGGAGUUGCAUAAUCUCAUAGUCAUAGGAACAUGUAUAAGUCAUGAAGAAAGCAAUAGCAACAUACUAAACGAUCAAGUGCUAAGCUAACGGAAUGGGUCAAGUCAAUCACAUCAUUCUCCUAAUGAUGUGAUCCCGUUAAUCAAAUGACAAUUCAUGUCUAUGGCUAGUCAAGUAGAGGCAUACUAGUGACACUCUGUUUGUCUAUGUAUUCACACAUGUACUAACUUUCCGGUUAAUACAAUUCUAGCAUGAAUAAUAAACAUUUAUCAUGAAAUAAGGAAAUAAAUAAUAACUUUAUUAUUGCCUCUAGGGCAUAUUUCCUUCAGUCUCCCACUUGCACUAGAGUCAAUAAUCUAGUUCACAUCACCAUGUGAUUUAACACAAAUAUUCACAUCUGUAUGUGAUUAACACCCAUAGCUCAUAUCGUCAUGUGACUAACACCCAAAGGGUUUACUAGAGUCAAUAAUCUAGUUCACAUUGUUAUGUGAUUAACACCCAAAGAGUACUAAGUUGUGAUCAUGUUUUUCUCAUGAGAGAAGUUUAGUCAACGGUAAACGGGAGUUGCAUAAUCUCAUAGUCAUAGGAACAUGUAUAAGUCAUGAAGAAAGAAAUAGCAACAUACUAAAUGAUCAAGUGCUAAGCUAACGAGAGUGGGUCAAGUCAAUCACAUCAUUCUCCUAAUGAUGUGAUCCCAUUAAUCAAAUGACAACUCAUGUAUAUAGCUAGGAAACUUAACCAUCUUUGAUAUGAUUCAACGAGCUAGUCAAGUAGAGGCAUACUAGUGACACUCUAUUUGUCUAUGUAUUCACACAUGUACUAAGUUUCCGGUUAAUACAAUUCUAGCAUGAAUAAUAAACAUUUAUCAUGAAAUAAGGAAAUAAAUAAUAACUUUAUUAUUGCCUCUAGGGCAUAUUUCCUUCAGGAGCAUGUGCGUAAUGCUUGGUUUUUGAUGACUUGUAGAUUUUUGUAAUAAGUAUAUGAAUUAUUUAUGACUAAUGUUGAGUCCAUGGAUUAUACGCACUCUUUCCCUUCCACCAUUGCUAGACUUUCUUGUGCCACGCAACUUUCGCCUGUACCAUACACCUACCAUAUACCUUCCUCAAAACAGCCACCAUACCUACCUAUUAUGGCAUUUCCAUAGCCAUUCUGAGAUAUAUUGCCAUGCAACUUUUCACUGUUCCGUUUAUUAUGACACGCAUCAUCAUUGCCAUAUUGCUCUUGCAUAAUCAUGUAGUUGACAUCGUAUUUGUGGCAAGGCCACCCUCAUGAUUUUCAUACAUGUCGCUCUUGGUUCAUUGCAUAUCCCGGUACACCGCCGGAGGCAUUCAUAUAGAGUCAUAUCUUGUUCUAAGUAUCGAGUUGUAAUCUUGAGUUGUAAGUAAAUAAAAGUGUGAUGAUCUUCAUUAUUAGAGCAUUGUCCCAAGUGAGGAAAGAACGAUGGAGACUAUGAUUCCCCCAUAAGUCGGCAUGAGACUUCAGACUUUACAAAAAAAGAGAAAGGCCAUAUUAAAAAAAGGCCAAAUAAAAAAAUGAGAGAAAAAGAGAGAAGGGAAAAUGCUACUAUCCUUUGACCACACUUGUGCUUUAAAGUAGCACCAUGAUCUUCAUAAUAGAGAGUCUACUAUGUUGUCACUUUCAUAUACUAGUGGGAAUUUUUCAUUAUAGAACUUGGCUUGUAUAUUCCAACGAUGGGCUUCCUCAAAACGCCCUAGGUCUUUGUGAGCAAGCAAGUUGGAUGCACACCUACUUAGUUCUUUUUGUUGAGCUUUCAUACAUUUAUAGCUCUAGUGGAUCUGUUGCAUGGCAAUCCCUACUCACUCACAUUGAUAUCUAUUAAUGGGCAUCUCCAUAGCCCGUUGAUACGCCUAGUGGAUGUGAGACUAUCUUCCUCUUUUUUGUCUUCCCCACAACCACCAUUCUAUUCCACAUAUAGUGCUAUGUCCAUGGCAAACGCUCAUGUAUUGCGUGAAAGUUGAAAAAGUUUGAGAAUACUAAAGUAUGAAACAAUUUCUUGGAUUAUCAUCGGGGUUGUGCAAGAUUAAAUACUUUGUGUGAUGAAGAUAGAGCAUAGACAGACCAUAUGAUAUUGUAGGGAUAGCUUUCUUUAGCCAUGAUAUUUUGAGAAGACAUGAUUACUUUGUUAGUAUGCUUGAAGUAUUAUUGUUUAUCAUGUCAAUAUGAACUUUUAUUUUGAAUCAUUUGGACCUGAACAUUCAUGACACAAUAAAGAAAAUUACAUUGAGAAUUAUGCUAGGUAGCAUUCCACAUCAAAAAUUCUGUUUUUAUCAUUUACCUACUCGAGGACGAGCAGGAAUUAAGCUUGGGGAUGCUUGAUACGUCUCCAGCGUAUCUAUAAUUUUUUAUUGUUCCAUGCUAUUAUAUUACCUGUUUUGGAUGUUUAUGGGCUUUAAUUUACACUUUUGUAUCAUUUUUGGGACUAACCUAUUAACCGAAGGCCCAGACCGAAUUGCUAUUUUUUUUGCCUAUUCAGUGUUUCGAAGAAAAGGAAUAUCAAACGGAGUCCAAACGGGAUGAAACCUUCGGGAGCGAUCUUUUUGGAACAAAUGCAAACCAGGGGACUUGGAGUGGACGUCAAGCAAUGAGCGAGGCAGUCACGAGGGUGCCCGGCGCGCCCUGUAAGGGUGGGCGCGCCCCUCACCCUCGUGGGCCCCUCGAGCAUCCACCGACCUACUUCUUCCUCCUAUAUAUAUCUACGUACCCCGAAACCAUCUAGAAGCACCACGAAAACCUAAUUCCACCGCCGCAACCUUCUGUAUCCGCGAGAUCCCAUCUUGGAGCCUUCGUCGACGCUCCGCCGGAGGGGGAAUCGACCACGGAGGGCCUCUACAUCAUCUCCAAGGCCUCUCCGAUGAGUUGUGAGUAGUUUACCAUAGACCUUCGGGUCCAUAGUUAUUAGCUAGAUGGCUUCUUCUCUCUCUUUGAUUCUCAAUACAAAGUUCUUCUUCCUCUUCUUGGAGAUCUAUUCGAUGUAACUCUUUUUGCGGUGUGUUUGUCAAGAUCCGAUGAAUUGUGGGUUUAUGAUCAAGUUUAUCUAUGAGAAAUAUUUGAAUCUCCUCUGAAUUCUUUUAUGUAUGAUUGGUUAUCUUUGCAAGUCUCUUCGAAUUAUCAGUUUGGUUUGGCCUACUAGAUUGAUCUUUGUUGCCAUGGGAGAAGUGCUUAGCUUUGGGUUCAAUCUUGCGUUGUCCUUUCCCAGUGGCAGCAGGGGCAGCAAGGCAUGUAUUGUAUUGUUGCCAUCGAGGAUAAAAAGAUGGGGUUUAUAUCAUAUUGCAUGAGUUUAUCCCUCUACAUCAUAUCAUCUUGCUUAAUGCGUUACUCUGUUCUUAUGAACUUAAUACUCUAGAUGCAGGCAGGAGUCAGUCGAUGUGUGGAGUAAUAGUAGUAGAUGCAGAAUCGUUUCGAUCUACUUGUUGCGGACGUGAUGCCUAUAUACAUGAUCAUGCGUAGAUAUUCUCAUAACUAUGCACUUUUCUAUCAAUUGCUCGACAAUAAUUUGUUCACCCACCGUAAUACUUAUGCUAUCUUGAGAGAAGCCACUAGUGAAACCUAUGGCCCCCGGGUCUAUCUUUUAUCAUAUAAGUUUUCCAUCUACUUUUAUUUGCAUCUUUUACUUUCCAAUCUAUAUCAUAAAAAUACCAAAAAUAUUUAUCUUAUCAUAUUAUCUCUAUCAGAUCUCACUUUUGCAAGUUUCCGUGAAGGGAUUGCCAACCCCUUUAUCGCGUUCGUUGUGAGGUUCUUGUUUGUUUGUGUAGGCGCGUGGGACUUGUGAGGAGCCUCCUACUGGAUUGAUACCUUGGUUAUCAAAACUGAGGGAAAUACUUACGCUACUUUGCUGCAUCACCCUUUCCUCUUUAAGGGAAAAACCAACGCAUGCUCAAGAGGUAGCAAUGGCAAGGCGGAAUAACAGCAAACCAGUGUCCACUUGUUUUAGGAGUAGUAACUACUCCCUCCGUUACAAAGUUGAGUCAUCUAUUUUGGAACGAAGGGAGUAGUAUCGAGUCAAUUGGGCAGCUUUGGUUGUGAGAACUGAAUUACGGAUGUUGCAGAUUUUGGCAAACUGAGAUCUAAGAGUGCUGGUGUUUUGUACUCUUCUGAACUAAACUCUACCAUGUUUGGCCAUUUGCAGUUCAAUGUUUUAGGAGUUUGUAUUACGGAAUUAUCUGCAAGUAGUUGUAUUAUUGUUACUGAUUGCUUUAUGUGAUUUAGUUUGUACUCUCUCCAUAAAGAAAUACAAGAGCAUUUAGAUCACUAUCUAAACACUCUUAUAUUUCUUUACAGAGGGAGUACUAACUAAUCUCUGCUACAUGAUUGUGCUUUCGUACCAAUCCAAGUUUCCAGAAUCCUGAUAUUCUACAUUAGGUGCAGAACUCUGUAGAACCCCUUUCGGCAGGUGGAAGAAUGACAACAUAUAUAAAACCAUGUUUCUUAGGACAGAAUUGAUUAAGAUCAAUCGCCCCCCGAAAGACAAGAGUUUGGCCUUCCAACUGGCUAAACGUUUGUCAAGUCUCUCUUGCACAUGCUUCCACUCAGCAAUAGUUAAACGCCGAUAGUGUAUGGGAAUACCCAGGUACCGAAUCGGAAACUGCCCGAGCUAGCAUCCAAAAAUCUCAGCAUACUCAGGUGCUGAUUCUGCAGCAUCGUUGUUGGGGAUAUUACCACUAGGCGUAAACCGGCCUACUUGGGCCGGGUUAAAUUCAUUAGUGGUAUAAGCAGAUGAAGGCCCAAGGCCUAUAGUCGGUUUAGAAUCUGUAGCCAGAAACUGACCUGAUGUAUAACUUGUAUUGUAAGUUAGGAAUAGAGAGAUACCAACCGGGAUACGAGUAUGAACCGGUUGGGACUCUAUGGACCGACGGGCGUCACCUGUGUAUAUAAGGGGACGACCCGGCGGCGGUUCAGGACAGAUAACCACAACUCGAGCCUAGGCGAAGCUUGUUUUGCUCCCUAGCCAUCGAGAUCACAUCAAUUCCAUCACAACUAGACAUAGGCUUUUACCUUCAUCGAAGGGGCCGAACUAGUAUAAACCCUCGUGUCUUUGUGUCCGCUUUAAACCCCUUCAAGUAAACCCGCAGCGAUGGCUCCACGACUAAGUCCUUUCACUAGGACGUCUGUCGUGACAAAUCCAUGAUAGUUGGCGCCCACCGUGGGGCCAUCGCACGAUGGUUUGACGAUCUUGGAGGGCAAGCUCAAAGGACUCGAAGGCUAUGCUGUGGGCCAGAUGACCAAGAGUCGUCGUGGCAAGAUCUACAUCGACGACGCAGGAUGGGGUCCCGAGGCCGAUUCGAUUGAGUACGGGUACCGGGUCCCCUUUGGUGGCAUACACGUUUUCAUCGGCAAGAUCGGUGAGCCGGGGCCUGAGCCGGACAUCUGCAUCGACCUCGUCGAGACGGCUCAGCGUGCGAGAUCUACCCAGGCUAAACCGGCCGUGAAGCGUGCCUUCGUUGGAGUCAUCCAUGGAGGAGGGCGUGAGGACGAGUCAGAACACGGUAGCAAGGCCGUCGUCUAUUCCGGCGACGAGUCCUCGACCGGAGAGACCGAAUCACUAUACCAGUUACAAGACGACCAGGUUAGGGGCUGUUCCGAUGGCGACAGUAUUCCGGACCCCCCAGGCCAGGUCAACCGGGUUGGAAUAUUCAUGGCCGGCACACAGGCGGCGAAUCACUCUUCGACCGCCGCGGCAAUGCUCUCCAGAUCAGCAGGAGCAGGAGGCCUUGUGCGCCCGCUGGUUCAAGUUCUAUCUGAUCUAUUUGAUACACUAGCCGCGCUCAUGGCAGAGGACAAUCCGGCGGAUCAGGAGGCCCAUAAUACAGAAAUUGCAAAGGUGAGAGAGCAGAUCGUGCAAGCCAAAGCGGGUCUGGCCGCAGAAAAAGACAGGAUGGCCGCAGAGCGGGCCGCUUUGGACGCCCAGGCUUAUAAGCUCAUGCUUGACCAGAACGCGUCACAGGAGGUCUUAAAGCGGAAGCACAGGUCACGCCUGCCGUUAGGGUUUGAUCCCCGGAAUCUCUUUCACACUCCAGGAGCUGGACCCAGUAAUCCGCCGCGACACCUGGAGACAAACCGGAUUGAGGCACCAGGACCAGGGGGGGCGGUCCAACCACGCCUGAUGGAACCUCCUCCGCAGAACAUUGUGAUUUUUCCGCCGGUCCAAACGCCCCCAGGUCAUUAUUCUAAUCCUAUGGACAACCUUGUUGCGGCCGCCGCACGAUUAGAGGCCAUCCCAGUCGAAGGGGACUCUCCGCAAGCGAUAGAGACGCGCCGGGUUAAAGAGCUUCUCCGGACCGUGCUGAUUCAGCAGGAAGCAUACUCGUACAGCCGUGAUCGGAUUCACUCUACGCCCCGUCCAAGCCGGAGCUAUAGCAGGCGCAUGGAUGAACCGACCAUAUCGAGCAAUGCGCGAGGCCGUGAAGCAGCCCAUGGCAAUAGCCCAGCAGGCGGUGUUCGCGAUGCUCAGGAUGUGGUGGACCGGGCCCGGGCACGGAGGGAAGCCGAGUUAGCAGCACAGGAUGAUGCGGAUCAACUUACACCGGUUCUCCCUACCACCUUCGCCGGACCAGGAGUCGCAUCUGCUUUGGGAGUGCCUUGUUUAAUCCCCGCUUUACGCAAUGUGCGCCUGCCCAAAGAUUUCAAGGGUCCACGCAAGGUGCCGAAUUACACUGCUGAUUUAUCCCCUGAAGCGUGGAUAGAGAGUUAUGAGAUGGCCAUGGAGAUGUUAGACGUGGAUGAGACCGCGUGUGCAAAAUACUUCACCAUGAUGCUUGAAGGCAUGGCGCGUACCUGGUUGAAGAGCCUACUGCCUAAUUCUGUCAGCUCAUGGGCCCAGUUGCGGGCCCGGUUUAUCCAGAAUUUCAAGGAUACGUGUAAACAGCCCAAAUCCAUAGUAGACCUGGCGGCUUGUGUCCAAGGGGAAGGAGAAUCAACGACCCAUUGGGUGCGCCGCGUUUCGGAAAUUUUGCACUCGUCCGACAGAAUUAAUGCUGACUCUGCGAUCUUAACCCUGGAAGGCAACUGCCGGUUUGAGCCUUUAAAAUUGAAAUUGGGACGCAUGAAGCGGUUCUGUAAUGACAUGGGAACCCUCAUGGCCGCUCUAGUGAAGUAUGUUGAUUCGGACAGUACCAAGGAUCCCGAGACUGAUGAUGAUGAAGCAGGGAAGGGAAGGAAGAAUAGCAACUCCAAACAGCAGCAGUAUAAACCGGCGGGUCAUGGAAACGGAGGCAAGCGCAAGGCGGAUGGCAGCAUGGACUUUGUGGCCAACACUAAUGCACAGGACAGGGGGCAGCGGCGUAGAGGUAAAGCGGCAAAUCGUAAUGGGGCUCCCAAUCCUAACGCAAGCCGCUUGAGUUAUUUGAUGAAUCAGCCUUGCCCGAAGCACGGGACGAAGGAGGCACCGGCUAACCAUCUUUGGAAGGAUUGUUACAUCAUGCAGGAGUUUAAAAACUCUAAUGCCUUCCGGUAUGAUCACGGGUCAGGUGGCGGUUCAGGAUCCAGUUUUCGUGGGCCGGAUCACGAUGGAGCUUCCGGUUCAGGUCGCAAUCAGGGCGGUCACAAUCACCAGAAUUAUCAGAACGGCCAGCAGCAGCAGCAGCAGUCGGGUUAUCAGAGCCAGCCAAAACAGUUGAACAAUGGGCAAUAUCAUGUUUUCACAACUAGCUUGGAUAAACGCGACCGAAAACUCCACAAGCGAGCGGUGAAUUCUGCUGAACCGGCCUUACCACGUAACUUGCGCUGGUCGGAACAGCCUAUCGUGUGGAGCAGAGAGGAUCACCCGCCCCGGGUUGAUAAUCCGGGCCAGCUAGCAUUAGUGGUGGACCCUCAGGUGGGGGGUUAUAAAUUCACCAAGGUACUCAUGGAUGGAGGAAGCAGUAUUAACAUACUAUACUAUGAGACAUUCCGUCGCAUGGGUUUAACAGACAAAGAUCUCAGACCAUCUAAUACGGUGUUCCAUGGUGUGGUGCCUGGCAAAUCUGCAUAUCCUGUUGGUAAGAUAGCCCUGGACGUGGCUUUUGGGGACGAGCACGACUCCCGGUCGGAAAAACUAACAUUGGAGGUGGUGAAGAUCCGGAGCCCAUAUCAUGCCUUGUUUGGUCGGCCGGCUUACGCCAAGUUCAUGGCGCGGCCUUGUUAUAUCUACUUGCAGCUCAAAAUGCCGGGUUACAAGGGGACAAUAACGGUUCAUGGGAGCCAUAGGGUCGCUUUGGAAUGUGAGGAAGGUGAUGCGGCUUAUGCAGAGUCGGUCUGUGCCACGGAGGAGUUGAAGUAUUAUAAGGACAAUGUUGAUCCAGCGGAUAUGACUCCUUUGAAGAAGCCAACUACAGAGCAUGAUUCGGAUCUAAAGUUCAAAUCGGCAGCUGAGACCAAGCUUGUUGACUUCGUGCCCGGCGAUUCAUCCAAGCAGUUCACUGUCAGUGCCAUUUUGGAUCCCAAAUAGGAAAGCGCGCUCAUCGAGUUCAUCCGUGAGAAUCGGGACAUCUUCGCAUGGAAGCCAUCCGACAUGCCAGGUGUACCGAGGGAACUCGCUGAGCACACUCUUAAUGUGGAUCCUAGGUAUAAACCGGUGAAGCAAUUCCUACGCCGGUUUAACGAAGAAAGGCGAAAGGCCAUUGGAGAGGAAGUGGCCAGGCUUUUGGCAGCUGGCUUUAUCAUUGAGGUGUUCCAUCCAGAGUGGCUUGCUAAUCCGGUGCUGGUUCUUAAGAAAAAUGGCACUUGGCGUAUGUGUGUGGAUUACACAAAUCUUAACAGGGCCUGUCCAGCGGAUCCUUUUGCCCUCCCCCGCAUUGACCAGAUCAUUGAUGCCACGGCGGGUUGUGAGCGUUUGAGUUUUUUGGAUGCAUACUCUGGAUAUCAUCAGAUCAAAAUGGCGGUUAAGGACCAGGAGAAAACAGCGUUUAUUACUCCCUUUGGAGCCUUCUGCUAUGUAUCUAUGCCCUUCGGACUCAAGAGUGCCCAAGCCAUCUAUCAACGGUGUGUACAGAACUGCCUGCAUAAGCAGAUCGGCCGCAAUGUGCACGCCUAUGUGGAUGAUAUUGUAGUGAAAUCAAGGCAGAAGGAGACGCUGGUGGAUGACUUGAAGGAAACCUUUGACAACUUGCGGGUUUACAAGAUGAUGCUUAAUCCGGCCAAGUGUGUCUUUGGUGUUCCAGCAGGCAAGUUACUAGGUUUCCUGGUGUCUAAUAGAGGAAUUGAGGCUAAUCCGGAGAAGAUUACAGCUAUCACCUCCCUGGCUAAACCGAAGUGCAUCAAUGAUGUUCAGCGCUUGGCGGGCCGAAUCGCCGCACUAAGCCGGUUUAUCAGCCGCCUCGGAGAAAAGGCCAUUCCUUUGUACCAAAUGCUGAGGAAGACAGACCAUUUCAUUUGGAGUCCGGCUGCUGACGAAGCAUUUGAGGACUUGAAGCGGCAGUUAGCCAAUCCGCCUGUCCUUGCAGCUCCGGUCGACAAGGAGCCACUAUUAUUAUACGUAGCAGCCAAUGCUCGGGCAGUUAGCGUGGCUAUUGUGGUGGAACGCAAGGAGGCAGGCAAGGAGUAUCCGGUUCAGCGGCCGGUUUAUUAUAUCAGCGAAGUGCUUAUUGAAUCCAAGCAAAGGUAUCCGCAUUGGCAGAAGCUGGUAUAUGGUGUUUUCAUGGCCAGUCGGAAGUUGAAGCAGUAUUUUCAAGGGCACCCCAUCACAGUGGUCAGUUCAGCUCCCUUGGGUGACAUCAUACAGAACCGGGAGGCGACUGGCCGGAUUGCCAAGUGGGCUAUAGAGCUUGGGCCACACGGACUGAAGUAUGUACCUCGGACGGCGGUGAAGUCUCAAGCACUUGUUGAUUUCAUCAAUGAUUGGACGGAGUUACAAGCACCAGAGGAGAAGCCGGAUCACACAUUGGACUAUUCAUUUUGAUGGAUCCAGGCAAUUGGAAGGCUCGGGGGCUGGAGUCGUAUUAACUUCCCCACGAGGUGAUAAGUUUUGUUAUGUUCUCCGCUUAAUGUUCCCUUGUACUAAUAAUGCAGCUGAGUACGAAGCCUUGCUCCAUGGUCUCCGGAUGGCUAAAGAGAUGAACUUAAGCCGGGUUAAGUGCUUCGGUGACUCGGACCUCGUGGCCCAACAGGUGUCUGGCACUUGGGAUUCUAAGGACCCGCUCAUGGCUGCAUAUCGUCGGGAGGUGGAUAAUAUUGCGGGUUGUUUCAAGGGUUAUCAAGUGGAUCAUGUGGACCAUCGGAAGAAUGAAGCGGCGGACGCUUUAAGCCGGUUGGGUUCUCAGCGCAAACCGGUCCCGCCUAAUGUCUUUCUGGACGUGUUGCACAACCCGUCAGUCCAGCUCCCAGGUGAAGCGGAUUUGGCCAUUCCUGAUCCGGAGGCUCAAUUGGUGGCAGCACUGCAUGCUAUUCCGGACUGAACGGUUCCUUAUCUUACGUACAUGAACCGGGGGGAGUUACCAGAGGAUGAGAUUCUAGCCAGGCAGAUAGUCCGGCGAUCCAAGUCUAUGACGAUUGUUAAUGGUGAAUUGCAUCAUUGCAGUGUAUCAGGGGCGUUUCAACGUUGUGUUUCUCCUGAGGAAGGCUGUGAAAUAUUAAGAGAAAUCCAUGAAGGAGAUUGUGGACAUCACGCCGGUUCAAAGUCUCUGGUAGCAAAGGCAUUUCGUCACGGGUUCUACUGGUUGACAGCGCAUGCUGACACGGAGGACUUGGUUAAACGGUGUGAUGGAUGUCAGAAAUUUUCAAGGCGUGCUCAUGUGCCGGCUCAAGAAUUGAGGAUGAUCCCAAUAACGUGGCCGUUUGCAACUUGGGGUUGGAUAUGGUCGGACCUUUUAAAAGAUCCAAGGAUAAGAAAACCCACCUUUUGGUGGCAGUUGAUAAAUUUACCAAGUGGGUUGAAGCGGAGCCUGUCAGCAAGUAUGAUGCAGAAACAGCAGUGCAGUUCAUCAAAAAGGUGAUUUUCCGGUUUGGUUUUCCACAUAGUAUCAUUACUGACAAUGGUACUAAUUUAUCCAAGGGCGCUAUGAAGGAGUUCUGUGAACGUGAGCACAUCCGACUUGACGUGUCGUCAGUGGCACACCCCCAGUCCAAUGGACAGGCAGAACGAGCUAAUCAGGAAAUCUUGCGAGGCAUCAAACCCCGGCUUAUGGUCCCAUUGCAAAGAACGCCAGGAUGUUGGGUUGACGAGCUACCAUCUAUGUUAUGGAGUAUCAAUACUACGCCAAACCGGUCCACAUGAUACACACCAUUUUUCAUGGUCUAUGGAGCAGAGGCAGUUCUCCCUAGUGAUAUCCGACACGAUUCGCCUCGUGUGGCAGCUUAUGUUGAAGCGGACAAUGAGACAGCACGGCAAGACGCUUUGGACCUAUUGGACGAGGAGCGUGAUAUAGCGGCUGCCCGUUCGGUGAUUUACCAGCAAGAUCUUCGUCGCUAUCACAGUCGCCGGGUUAGAACCAGAACUUUUCAAGAAGGAGAUUUGGUGCUUUGACUCAUCCAAGAUCAGACGGAUAUGCACAAGUUAUCCCCACCUUGGGAGGGACCUUUUGUGGUCAGCAAGAAUUUGCACAACGGGUCAUACUAUCUGAUUGAUAUUCGAGAGCAUAAAGACUCACGUACAUCAGAGGAGGAGACCAACAGGCCGUGGAAUAUAGCUCAUCUUCGGCCUUACUACACUUGAGCCAUCGGCUCUAUCUAUGUACAUAUCAUGACAGUGUAUAUAUUAUCUUUGAUAUAAUAAAACCGGAGCCUCAGCUAAAGCGGGGUCUCUGUCUUUCUUAUCAUGCGUGGUUACCUGGAGUGGUUCUGUUUUUAAAGCGGCCUCCGGUUUUCCCCUUGACAUUUGCUUUUUAUAUAUCACUUGGGGCCUUGGUCGUAUCCGAACCAACGCGACACCUUUUGAUAGGCGACAGCCACCAGAUCACUUGGGGACAUGGUCACGUCUGAACCAGUCACGCCUCUUGAUCGGCCUAAGGCCACAAAAUCACUUGGGGGCUUGGUCGAACCCGAACCAUUGCCACGCCUCUUGAUCUGGCAUAUAUGCCACGAAUCAUUUGGGGACCUAGCUAACUUGAAUCAUUGUCACUCCUAUUGGGGGCUUGGUCCUGUCUGACCAUGGUAACACCAUCUGAUCAGCUCAGUAUAGCAUAUUUUUUGCAAAUGGUUUUUAUCAUUGCCUUUGCUUCUAUGUUAUUUUCAUGGUUUGUUUGUUCUUUGUUUUUUGUUGGAUUUCUUUUAUGUCAACAAACACCCUUUUUCCGGUUCAGCUGAUGGAUUUGAUUCCUCUUUAAACCGGAAAAGUAUGCCUGGUUUACCUUUCUUUUACGGGAGCUGUUUUCUCCCCCCUUAUUGACGGUAAUGGUUUAUAAAACCUCCGCUUCAAGCUUGGCUAAGCCAGCUUCAUGCCCAGACAUGGCAGUUCAAAUUUUUCUGAUUGCAGGAAAUAUGAAUUGAAGUUUUUCGAACAAAAGCUUCAGUACUUAUGGGCGAAGGCAUAUUCAAGGCAGAAGUAUUAAUUAUCCUAUUACAAGGCAGCACGGUGCCCAAAUAAGAUCAUUUUUCUUUUGGAAAGAUGCCAAAGAUAGCUAUCCAAACCGGCUUCCGGUUCAAGCCUGCUCCUCAUCAUCCGCUACUUCAGCUUCCUCGUCUCUACCCAUUGGCUGGAAAUCAACAGUGGUCCAGUCGAUUCCCAUUAAAGCUUGGAAAACAGCCUCUUCAUGGAUUAGGGAAGACGGUUCAAUAUCAGGAGCGUAAGUGUGCUUACGGAUUGGCGGGAUCAGAUUCUCCGCUUCAAGAGUUGGGGCAGGCACUCGCUUAUUCUGGUCAUUAUAUUGUGCUUGAUAAUGCGUUAGGUCUGCCUCUUCAGCUAGCUGACAAGCCAGAGGGCGCACUGCACGGUUUAUUGCCCUUAAAUCCUCUUCGUUAAAUUCAGAGCCAUCUUCCUUCAGGCUAGGAUAGCCUUGAGAUGCUUCCACAGGGUCGAAAUCUGGCACCCAUGCCUUUGCCCGGAUCAAGGCGUUAAUAGCUCAGGUUCAGGCAGCAGAUUUCUUCAGUUCCUCCAUCCGGGCCGGAAGCAUCGACAACCUGUUAAUAGUGUCCUGGAUUAAAGAAGGUGUCGGGUUGUUAUGAGAGGCUGUGGUGAUGAUCCGCUGGGCUCCGGUAUAUAAUUGUUCCACUAAGGUGUAGGCAGCUUUCAGUUUCUUCCGCACAUCAUUUCCUAAGUGCCCAAUGCGUGUUCCUGCAACAAUACAUGGACGGUCUCACACCGGAUUUGCAUUACAGCAGGUUCAAAGUAUCACAGAAGUUAAAAGGAGCUUACCAAAGAUUGCAGCGGUCAUGGAGUGUAUUUGCUGUUUCACAGCCGUAAGUUCAUCCACCACCGGUUUAAGGGCAGCUUUAGCAUUUUCCGCUCUUUUGGUUAAAGCGGCCUUCUCAGUGGCCCAAUCAUCCCGCUCUUUCUUGAAGCCCUUUUUCAGCUGUUCAGCGGUGCUCAAGGCGCUGGUUAGUUCUUCCUUUGCCUUGUCUGUUUCAGCAUGUUGGGUUUUCAAGGCCUCCUGCAAAUCGGCAAUCCGGUCCUCUUUGAUUCUCACCUCAGCCUGCAUACAGACAUCAUUUAGCUUUCAACAAACGGUCCAAAGAAAUUGAAGUAUCAACCACAUAAACAAAGUUAUACGCCUGAUACUUGGGGGCUAAUGCACCUUCAAUUUUCAUCAAGUCAUUAGAUUGCAAAGUCCCAAGCUCAAUACAGGUAUUCAACUUGGCACUUGGGGGCUAAUGCACCUUCAAUUUUCAUCAAGUAUUAGAUUGCGAAGUCCCAAGUUCAAUACAUGUACUCAACUCGGCACUUGGGGGCUAAUGGCUAUUUUAUCAAAUUAUGUUCUAAGGAUAGUUUUUCUGUCCGAGCCCCGGGUUAAUUCUGCUAAGCUACAAACCGACCCUUGGGGGCUAGGAGGAUUGGUGCAAAGGCAGGCAGUAAAGAAGUAAGUUACCUCAAAUUUAUCCCUCAUCAUUUUUACCAGACCAGCUUCACAGUCACGGCUAGUAUAAAGCCGGUUUAGAUAGCCGGAAUGAAGAUAUUGGGCGCUCAGAGCAGCAUAUGUCUCCAGUUCAACAUCCCAUUUUUCUUUAUUCAGAGCGGAAAAAUCCUCUUUUAUGGUAUGCUUGGUUAAGGUGACAGGAUUCCCGGGUUCAGAGCGGCCUACACCGGUAAUCACAACAUCAUCAUCUUUGGACUCGACGGUUUGUGUUAGUGUGAUCGGUUUGUCAACAGGACUGUGGGAUUUAUCAAUCCGGACGGAGCUGACAGGCGGAUCAGCAGAGACUGAAGUAUUAAUAGGCCUCUCUUCGGGAAUAGCAUCGUCUUGUAAAGGAGGAUCAUUGGGAAUAUCCUCAGGAGCAAAUGCCUCAAGAUCUGGCAUUUUGUCAUGUUCUUGGGCUACAUCCUCUUCGGCCGCUUUAUCCAGGCGGGCUUUCUUGCUUGGUUUAGGUUUGGCCCUAAAAGAAAACCAAAGAGUCAAGGAAAAGCAUAAGCCCUUACACAAUGUAUUGGAAGCAUAUGUUCAGCUUAACUUACCCAAGAACCGUUUUUAACGGUGGCAGCUGAGUGGCCGACGAUUCACCAGAAGAUGAAUGAGAAGUAACCUGAUAAUUGGAGUCGGAUGGGUUAAGAGGUUGACGGAAGAAACCCGCUUUAGGAUGUAAAUCAACAAAAAGGUCAGAGACCUCGGAGCGGCGUUUUCGAACCGGACUGUUUGGUAAACCGGUGGAGGUAACUACCUGGCCACUGUGCCGGGUUGUGCAGCGAACUUCAUGUUGCUGCAUCUUCAUAUGAAAUUUAGGAUCCAAAUAAGCAAGAGGAUGAGAAAAUUUAACUUUCCGGUUUGCCUGUCGAGGUUUUGGCAAAGGUAAGAUUUCUGAAUCGGAAGAGAGAAUAGUUACCUCAACAAAUUCCGCAUUGCUGGCUUCAGCGUCAUCCUGACAAGCAUCAUCAUCAAUAAGGCGUGUAAAAAAUAAGCCAAGCGAGUCAAGUUCUACCUCAAGGUCCGGGUUACCCACAUCAUCAUCAAUAGCUGGGUCAGAUGAAGCGGUGGUUUUUCUCUUAUGAGCUGGCUUCUUAAUAACCUUGGUCUUGGGGCGGAUUGGCCGCCCUGUUUUCUCCGUUUUGUCUUGAGGAAGUUUCUUGCUCCAAAACGGAUUAUCGCCUUGGAUCAGCAGUAAUUAAAUGUCAAACAUAUAAAGCAGUAACCGGUUCAACAAUAGAGCAGUUAAAAUAUUACCGCUGGCGGUUUGUUGGUGGUGCAGUAAGGAGGCAGACCGGUUUGAGCACAGAGGUGCUCCGGUUCAUUCAGCAUCUUUUUCACAGAUUCUGUGACUUCGUCAUCGGGGAGUUGGAUUUUAGUGUGUCGGAGUGGGUCAUCGACACUAUCAGUAUACUUGCACAUCAAAUUGGAGCGCCGGCUCAGAGGCAGUAUGCUCCAUGAUAUCCAACAGCGUGCAAGAUCUAUUCCCGUUAAGCCGUUGGCCAUAAAAGCUCAGAGCUUGGACAGUUGCGGAGCGUAUUUAAUUCUUUCCUUGGCGCUUAGUCUUUGUGGAAAAGGGUGCGUGUUGCUGAGCCGUUCCGGACGGAAGCCAGGCAAGGGAUUUUCAUUGUCAGGGGAGGUAUCCUUGCAAUAAAACCAAGUUGCAUUCCACUCCUUGGGGUGAGUAUGGAGUUUAACAUGGGGAUAAGUGAUUUCCUUCCUCUUCUGAAUGGCCAUACCGCCCAGUUCAGUGUUGGGGCCAUCGGUGAAUUCAGUGCGACGGUUUAAAUGAAAGAGGUCUCUAAACAAUUCGACUGAAGGCUCCUCUUGAAAGUAUACCUCAGAGAGCACUUGAAAGUGGCAUAGAUUGGUAACAGAGUUGGGGACAAUAUCAUGUGGACGGAGCUGAAAAUUGGCUAACACAUCCCGGUAAAAUUUAGAGCCGGGCGGUUUGAAGCCCCGGGCCAAGUGAUCUACAAAGACCACAACCUCUCCUUCCUGGGGGGUAGGUGGACAUUCAUUUCCAGGAACCCUCCAGUGGAUUGUAUCUUUACUGUCUAAAGCGCCGAUCAAGACUAGAUCGUCCAACUGUGAUUCCGUGACGCGAGAAGGAACCCAAUUGCACUCAUACACUUGUUUGGCCAUGGCGAGAUCUACAAGAAAUAGAUGAUCCGGUUCAAGAACACGCUGGGUAAAAGAAGGUAUUGAUCUAAACUACGAUAAACCGGUCUUCCACAAUGCGGCAUCAUGUGGAUUCUGGCGGUUCAACCAGGGGACUAAUGGUAUACACCGGUUUAGUAACUUUUUUCUAUGAUAAGUUAAACCGCCUGACCUAAGCGUCGGAAGAAAUUGAAGCUAUGGACAACUAGGUAUACAGAAACAGGUUUCACAAGAUUUCAUUACAGCCAUGGAUCUACAGCGAGCUCACAAAACAGAAAAUAUUCUGAAGAGUAAGGCGGAACGGAAGUGAACCAUUGAGCGGGUAUGUGCGUGAGAUCUAUGGGCUUAGAUAAGAAAUAACAGGAGGAUGCUUAAAGAUUACUACUGAACACAGCGGGAAUUUACAGAUUCAUCCAAGAGUCGGAAUACAAGUAUGAGCAAGUGACGAACACAGCACGAACAUGGAACCCUAAGAACAGAUCUAGGUCAAUAAGAGGAGAAAGCUUACUGGGAACGGAGAAGAUGCGGAACGAUACCGCAGUACUCUGGAACGCUCAGGUUGAUGCAGCGGCCCAAGACGAAGCAGAGGUCGAUGGUGGCGGCGGAGCUCCAAGGCUGGCGAUGCGAGGAAGACGAAGAAGAAGAGAUCAGGGGAAAAGAAAGGAGAUGACCAUUCGGUCUUAUUUAUAAGGCAACGGAGUUAGGUCAAGCGCGCGGAUCCAGGAGGCGUUAUAAAUGACAAAUUUCAUGAUGACGUCAUGCCGGUUUACAACAACCAGAAAUGAUGACAUCAUGCUGGUUUACCAAUUACCAGAAGAUGUCCAAGACACAAGAUUUUGUGAAGGAUUGACAUGAACCAGUUCAAAUCAAUCUGGGGCCUAAUGUUGGGGAUAUUACCACUAGGCGUAAACCGGCCUACUUGGGCCGGGUUAACUUCGUUAGUGGUAUAAGCAGAUGAAGGCCCAAGGCCUAUAGUCGGUUUAGAAUCUGUAGCCAGAAACUGACCUGAUGUAUAACUUGUAUUGUAAGUUAGGAAUAGAGAGAUACCAACCGGGAUACGAGUAUGAACCGGUUGGGACUCUAUGGACCGACGGGCGUCACCCGUGUAUAUAAGGGGACGACCCGGCGGCGGUUCAGGACAGAUAACCACAACUCGAGCCUAGGCGAAGCUUGUUUUGCUCCCUAGCCAUCGAGAUCACAUCAAUUCCAUCACAACUAGACGUAGGCUUUUACCUUCAUCGAAGGGGCCGAACUAGUAUAAACCCUCGUGUCUUUGUGUCCGCUUUAAACCCCUUCAAGUAAACCCGCAGCGAUGGCACCACGACUAAGUCCUUUCACUAGGACGUCUGCCAUGACAAAUCCACGACAAUCGCCAAAAUAAAAAAAUCGCUCUUAUGAAAAUUAAUUUUGAGGCCAGAAAGUUCCUCAAAAGCACAUAAGAGCAGCUUGAGAUUUCUUGCCUUAUCUAGAUCAUGAUCCAUGAAGUAUCAUGUCAUCCUCAUAUUGUAGAAUGGAUAGACCAUCUUCUACCAAGUGUGGAAUGACCCCACUAAUUUGACCAUCCAGCUUAGCCCGCUCAACAAGGGUAGCUAGCAUGUCGGCCACAAUGUUAAACAUAAUAGGAGAUGCAGGGUCGCCUUGACAAAGCCCCUUCCUUGUCUGAAAAUAGUUGUCAACGUCAUCGUUAACUUUUAUGGCCACACUACCUCCAGAGACAAAGCUCUCUACCCAACGACACCAUUUUUGUUAAAACACCUUCAUGCGCAAGGUUUGCAACAGGAAGGGCCACUUAACUUUAUCGUAGGCUUUCUCAAAAUCAAUUUUAAGAAUGACACCGUUCAAAUUUUUCUGGUGCAGUUCAUGUACAGUUUCGUGCAGGAUGACAACUCCAUCUAAUAUGUUGCAGCCUUGCAUAAAUGUUGUUUGAGUGGGUUUACGACAUGAUCAGCUAUACCAUUCAACCGAUUAGUCGCUACCUUCAUAAAAAAUUUAAAACUUACAUUCAUAAGGCAAAUCGGUCGAUAUUGUUGAAUACGACUAGCCUCCUUAAUCUUAGGCAAUAGGAUAAUUUCCCCAAAGUUUAAACGAGAAAUAUCAAGGUCCUCGGAAUGCAGUUGAUUAAACAACUGAACCAAGUCUGCCUUAAUCGCGUCCCAAAAGCAUUGAUAGAACUCUGCGGGAAAGCCAUCCGGUCCCGGUGCCUUCUUGUGUUCCAUCUGAAACACCGCAGUUCGAAUUUCCUCCUUAGAAAACGGAGAGGUUAGGAAUUCAUUUUCCGCUUCCGUAACUUGAGUAAUGUCAUGAGUAACGGAUUCGUCUAGCUGAAAAUUAGUUUCAGCUGAAGUCCCAAAAAGGUAUUUAUAAAACUUAGUGAUGAAAUUUCUAAGUGGUACGUCCCCCUCUAUUCGGCCUUCCUCCUCGUCAAGGGCGAAUAACGCUUCUUUCUAUGUCUGCCAUUGGCUAGCAUUUGAAAGUAUUUCGUAUUAUCAUCACCUUGCACCAGCGAAUCCGCCUUGCUAUGUUGGUAUGAUAACCCACAAGUAUAGGGGAUCAAUUGUAGCAUCUUUCGAUAAGUAAGAGUGUCGAACCCAAUGAGGAGCUAAAGGUAGAACAAAUAUUCCCUCAAGUUCUAUCGACCAUCGAUACAACUCUACGCACGCUUGAUGUUCGCUUUACCUAGAACAAGUAUGAAACUAGAAGUACUUUGUAGGUGUUGUUGGAUAGAAUUGCAAGAUAAUAAAAUGCACGUAAAUAAAAAGUAGGGGCUGUUUAGAUAAAGAAACAAUAAAGUAAAUAUAGCGACUGUGGAAAAGUGGUGGUAGGAGUUGUGAAAUUCUCCCUAAGCAAUUGACUACUUUACUAGACCGAUAGCAAGUUUUAUGUGGGAGAGGCAUAAGCUAACAUACUUUCUCUUCUUGGAUCAUAUGCACUUAUGAUUGGAACUCUAGCAAGCAUCCACAACUAUUAAAGAUCAUUAAGGAAAAACCCAACCAUAGCAUUAAAGUAUCAAGUCCCCUUUAUCCCAUACGCCGCAACCCCCUUACUCGGGUUUAUGCUUCUGUCACUCAAGCAACCCACUAUAAGCGAAUCAUGAACGUAUUGCAACACCCUACAACGGGAAUCCCUCACGCUUGCGUGACACGGAGGGCACAAUAGGACAGCAACAUAACCACAAGCAAAUUAAACCAAUCAUAGCAAUUCAUCAAUCACCGGUAGGACAACGAAAAUCUACUCAGACAUCAUAGGAUGGCAACACAUCAUUGGAUAAUAAUAUGAAGCAUAAAGCACCAUGUUCAAGUAGAGGGUUCAGCGGGUUGCAGGACAGUGGACCGCUGAAUAUAGAUGGGGGAAGGUGAUGGAGAUGUUGGUGAAGAUGAUGGAGGUGUUGGUGUAGAUCGCGGUGAUGAUGAUGGCCCCCGGCGGUGUUCCGGCGCCAUCGGAAGCGAGGGGGGGAGAGCCCCCCUUCUUCUUCUUCUUCCUUGACCUUCUUCCUAGAUGGGAGAAGGGUUUCCCCUCUGGUCCAUGGUCUCCAUGGCGUGGGAGGGGCGAGAGCCCCUCCGAGAUUGGAUCUGUCUCUCUGUCUCUCUCUGUUUCUGCGUUCCCAGAUUCUGCCCUUUCACCGUUUCUUUUAUAUCCAGAGAUCCGUAACUUCAAUUGAAUUGAAACCUUCGCCCAGAUUUUUCUCCGAAAAUUAGCUUCCUUGCGGCAAAAGAAGAGCGUCAACCGCCUUACAGGGUGCCCACGAGGGUCAGGGGCACGCCCCCUGCCUCGUGGCCCCCCUCGGGCACCAUCUCGCGUUGGUUUUUCUUCCCAAAAAUCAUAAAUAUGUCAAAAAUGAUAUCCGUCUGUUUUUAUCCCGUUUGGACUCCGUUUGAUAUGGGGUUUAUGCGAAACAUAAAACAUGCAACAAACAGGAACUGGCACUAGGCACUGGAUCAAUAUGUUAGUCCCAAAAAUAGUAUAAAAAGUUGCCAAAAGUAUAUGAAAGUUGAAUAAUAUUGGCAUGGAACAAUCAAAAAUUAUAGAUACGACGGAGACGUAUCAUGGUACCAUUUAAUCUCUUCCUCACAUAGUAGGCGGGCAAUCUGCUCGUUAAGAUUGCUUUUUUUCUCAAUCUCAACAGCAUACAGAGGCCUCACCUCCGCUAUUUUAUCAAGGGAAUCAAUUAAAGGUAGACAAUCACUGUUUUUCUUUUUUGUAGAUGCGGCAGUAUGCUUGGCCCAUCCUCGAAGGAAUCAACGCAAGGCGCAGAUUUGUAGACUACUUUAGAUCCAGAUUUUUUGGCAGUGUGAUAAUGAAACCAAGAAAUAUAGACCGACUAGGUGGAGCGUAUUAUGCAGACCUAAAAGUCAAGGGGGUCUGGGAAUCCAAGACCUUGAGAUUAAAAACAUUACUCUUCUCAGCAAGUGGGUUAAUAAACUACUCACUGAGAAUGGAGUAUGGAAGGAAAUCAUUCGCAACAAGUAUGUGGGAUCCAAUGCCAUUUCUCAAAUUCAUUGGAAACCUGGGGAUUUACAUUUUUGAGUGGUGUCAUGAAGGCCAAGGAGCUCUUCUUCCAAUUUGGGACCUUCUCGGUUAUGGACGGUUCUCAGGUUCGUUUCUAAGAAAAUACCUGGCUAGGGAACAACUCACUAAUGGUGCAAUAUCCGAGCUUGUACCGAAUUGUCAGACAUAAAUUUGUCACGAUCAAACAAGUCUUAGGACAAGAAAUCCCUGAUAUUUCUUUUGGUAGGGAUCUUUUGGGCACUCGCCUGGCAGCAUGGAAUGAAUUACUCACUCGCCUGGAGGACAUUCAACUAUCAGAUGAGCCAGACACUUCUCGAUGGAACUUGCAUCAGAAUGGCAAAUUUUCGGUCAAAUCCAUGUAUGAUGCAAUGGUUCAUUAUGAUGUUCCAGUAGAUAACAGGAAAUUGUGGAAGCUAAAAAUUCCUCUAAGAGUGAAGAUUUUCGUCUGGUUUCUAAACAAAGGAGUCAUCCUAACUAGAGAUAAUCUGGCACGACAAAACUGGCAUGAUUCCAAGACAUGUGUCUUUUGCCAACAUGACGAGUCUAUCAAACACUUAUUUUUUGAGUGCAAGUUUGCUCGGGCAGUUUGGGCCAUGGUCCAAGUAGCUUCGAAUUUAUACCCACCACGUAGUGCACGGAAUAUUUUCGGCAACUGGUUGCGGGGUAUUGAUAAACAAUUUUCUGCACAUAUUCUUGUGGGAGCGGCGGCCUUAUGCUGGGCAAUGUGGCUUACUAGGAAUGAUGUGGUUUUUAACAAUAAAUGUGUCUCAUCUCCUAUGCAGGUUAUUCAUGUUUGUACAGGAUGGCUCCGUACUUGGUCUAUCCUGUAGAAGCCGGAGGACAGGGACCUUUUUAUGAUGGCGUCUACACGGCUGGAGCGUACGGUCAGGGAGGUUUUCUACCCCCGUAGAUGGCGGUGUGAUUUACGGAUAGGAUCUACCACUCCUUAGGAUGGACACGAUUUAUUGCUUGGCAUUGUAUCGAAUAUUUUAUUUUUAGGGUGCUCUGGACUUUUUGGCUAUGUGCAUCUAGCUAUGCAGAGGCCGGGCUUUCUUUCGAUACGAUUGUAUCACCUCGAUAUAUCUAUUCAAUGAAAAGUCCUUUGUCGAAAAAAGGUGCAUAACUCUAUUCCCUGUGAUUAUUGUCAAUAAGAGCAACCCAAUGGUUUGCCUUGCCAUGUCCUGUUCUUGUUUUGAAAGUAGUCUGCUUUGCUUAUCCAGUAUCACCAGUUAACUGGUUAGCCUGGAGCAGCUUGGUGUUGUACAUGAUGGUCUUACUGUGAAAAUGCCAAGUGUGAGAACAUUAGACUAGCUGUCCAUUUCUUGCCGGAGAUCAUGCAUUCAGGGAUGGAUCCCCUCCCUUCCUCCUCCCUCUCCUCCUCCUCCCCCUCGUCCCCUCCUCGCCCUGGGCGUCUCGCUCCCCGCUCUGUUCUGCGGGCCGGUGCUCGGCCGUCCUCUUCUCCGUGUGCAGGUGCUCCCCCUCCCCUCUCCCCGGUCUCCCCGCAGGUGGGGCUCUCCCCUCCUUCUUCUCCGCUUCCGGUGCUUGGGUCUCGCUUUUGGGCCCUUGCAUCCGAUGUGGAGGAGUCGCGGUCGUCCGCCUCCUCCCCUUGUGGUCCCGUGCCCUGUGCUGGGGGGGCGGUGGUGUCCUGUGCCGCUCCUCGCCUCCGCAAGUUCGCCCCGGGUGGCCGGGGCCGGCCGGUGGCUGCGCCUUCUUCGGGCGAUGGCUGGAUCCGAAUCUCGCGGCGGCGGCGCAAGUCUAGUAAGUUUGUUGUUGCGUCUCCUGAUCCCGGUGUCUUGGGCAGUGCGCCAGAUGGGGAGCUUGGAGGCCUCCCAUCUCCUUCUCCGACUUCCUCUCUGGCGGCCUCGUCGCCGGUGGUGUCGACGGCGGGGCCGUUGGUGGCAUCGUGUAACCUAAACCUAGAUCUCGAUUUCUCCGUGGUGGCCAUCGGGCCGCGGGCCGCUUCCUCAUGUGGGCUUGCUGGGCCUUGCGGUUUGGCGUUGCCCAGUGGGCCUACCUCUCCUCCCCUCCUCUCGUCUGUGGUCGACUUUCCCCCUCUUGUCUCGUCUGGCCCAGUCGGGCCCACCGGUCGGGUUCCUGCUCCUCAACCUCUUGUGGCCCAUCUGGUGAGUCGGGCCCAGGUGGGCACGGCUCGGACGGGAUAUUUAUGGAUCCCCCGCGGCUCAGUCUCCCCCCUGCUAGGGUUUCUGGCUUCCUCUUCCGACCUGUGUUGUCACCGUCUCCCCAUCCGUCGCCUCAUUAGAUCUUCCCCACCUCCACCCUUCCUCCUUCAUUUUGCUGCGGUGCUUUCCACGGACAAGUCGCGGGGCUCUUCCUGCGAGGCGCUCUCAGGCGGCAAGCAGCGCCGUGAGGACUCCCCUGCCUCCGCGGUGGAUCUGGAGCUCGAGGCUUCGCUCCGUUCCAAGUUGGAGGCGGAGCAGGCGGCGCGCGAGCAGGUGGCUCGUGGCCGCGAGGCUUGGGCUUCGGGUCCGGAGUGGUUGCAGCGCUCGCAGAGGGAUGGUGUGCCUGGAUCCGGCCCGCAGGGCUCUGGAUCUAGCCCUUCUCUCUGUCCGGUGCUGGAUCCAUGGGAGGCGGCGGCGGCCUCUGGCGGUGGAGUUUCCUCGUCUUCUGCCUCCCUUCCCGCUCCGGGUGUGGGGCGUGGCUCGUCUGCUCCGUCGCGUCCUCCGCCUCCUCCUCCUCCUCUCUCCAUUGGGGUUGUUGCUGGUUCUCACCCGCCGCCUCGGUCCUUCGCGGGGCCGGUCCGUCGGUCGCCCGGUCCGACCUCUGGGGCUCCCCUUUUUCGGGGAUGGGGGAUGGGAUCCUGCCUCCUCCUCCGUCGCUUUCGCAAUCUCGCCCAUCCUCUGCCUCCAAUAGCAACCCCUCGGUGCUCACCUGCUUCGCUUGCCACAGGCCUGGCCAUUUCCAGUCUCGCUGCACCAACCCUCCUUUUUGCCUGAUUUGUCGCUCUGAUGGUCACCUCAUGGUCAACUGCAUGGCUAGGCAGAAACCUCCCGCGGUCCUCCAGUUCGGCUCGGGCCUCCCUGGUUGCGCCUUUUUCGCCUUCAACGGUUAUCUGCCUGUCCGGGAGGUGGCUCCUGCUUUGUCUAAUGCUGCGAUUGUCUCGGUCAAGGACCAAAAGAUUUCGCCCCAAACUCUUCUGGAAGGGCUCCGCAUUUGGGAUGAGGCUGGAUGGGACUAGCAAGUUGUGCAGAUGUCUGACUAUGAGUUCUCUGUGGUGUUUCCCUCCAAAGAAUGUUUGCGGAUGAUUGCCUCAUGCACUAGCUUCACCUUGCCCCUCAAUCAAUUGGUGGUUUCUGUCAAAGCGGCUUCUUGCAAUGGUACGGCAGUUGGUCCGUUAUCCCAAGUUUGGGUUCUGAUUGAUGAUUUGCCUGUCGGUCUCCGCUCACCUGCUUUUCUCAUGUCCUUCGGGGUUUUGAUUGGGAAGCCCAUUGAGGUGGAUGAGGAAUCUCUGAACAAGGUCGGCCCUGCUAGGAUGAAGGUUUGGUGUGUGGAUCCUGAACGGGUGCAUGGCUCAAUUGAUAUUUUCCCCUCUCACAAUGGUAUUAGGCUUCGGGUGCGGGUGGAGGGGGCGGCCGCUUUUCAUGCCCCACCUUCCCCUCCUCCUCCUUCUAACCCUAAGGACAAGCAUGAUAAGGAGGGGGACGGAUCUUUGGGUGGCCCUAAUCAGAGUUUUGGGUCUAACCUCCGCUUCGCCCAAUCUGAAUGGGACGGUCUGGCAGAUUUUGAACGUGAGCUGUUUCAAUCCCAAGCUCCUUCUGGUGGUGCUCCUCAUGAUGACUCGGUGAUCCCGCCUGCGGCUCCGUUUGUUCCUGCUGCUGAUGCUGAUUUGUCGAAGUUUCCGCCCUGCUCUGCUACCCCCGUUUCUGGUGCCUGCUCCAAUCUCCCUGUUCGUCCGCUCUCCCCCACUCGUUCGGGAAUUGAAGAUCUCCCUGUCUCCCCGGUUCGUGAUGUGGUGGAAUCCCAGUCCCUCCGGAAGAAGAAAUCCUCAGUGCGCAAAUUCUCGGCUAAGAGCCGGAACUCGUCGGGCUUGAAGCAAUCCAUGGCGGGGUUCUGUCGGCGUCUGGAUCAAGAUUUGGGAUCUAUGUCCCGCUCGGGUCCCCAUGGUGGCUCUCCUGCUGCGCGGUCGCCUGCUAUUCGAUCUCCGGUGUCCAUGGCUCGCAAAGGAAGGCGGGUGGCGAGUUCUGGUGGUUCUAUCCUGGAGCGGGCUGAGAAGCGGGCUGCGGCGAAGGAUCUCCCUCCCCCAGGUACUUCUCCCAUCCCCUCUGUUGUUGCUUCUCCGGUGCGGUUGGUUCUACCUUCUCUUUCCAAUGAUCACCUUUUAAAUAUCAUGUCGGAUGUGGGUGUGGUGGUUGAUUCUUCUGUUGGUUCUCCUAGUUCGCUACUUGCUAUUAUUCGGGCUAACGAGAUGGCUCAGGCAGCCAUUGCCUCUCUGAUAGGGGAUGCUAGUUGUGGUCCGGGUGUGGACACAGGUGCUGGUAGUGGCCAGCCCCAAUCCAACUUAUCUAAGAGGGGCACCAAUAAGCAAGCUAAAUCCUGCAUGGCCCCUUGCAGGUCGAGUCUCCGAAUCAAGAAUCUUUCUUAUAAAUGAGGGUGUUAUUCUGGAAUAUUAGGGGGUUCGGUGCUAGGGGGCGCCGUGACCAACUUAAAGAGUUGGUUCAUUCUAAUUCUAUUGACUUUGUGGGGCUGGUUGAAACCUUCAAGGAUUCCUUCUCCCCUAAUGAUUUCUCUGCUAUUGUGGGCAUGGACAUAUUUAAUUGGCAAUUUUUACCUGCUUCGGGUCACUCUGGUGGGAUAUUGAUUGGCUCCAAUAAAGAUAUUUUUGAUUUUGUUGCUUUUGAUCAUGGGAUCUUUUGGGCCAGUGUUGUUCUAUCUCAUAAAGCUAUGAAUAUUCUCUGUGAGUUUAUCGUUGUUUAUGGGUCUGCAGACCAUUCUUUGUCGGCUUUAUUCCUUAAUGAACUUUCGUUGAAGAUCGAUUCUUGUAACUUACCGAUGGUUAUCGGGGGAGACUUUAAUCUUAUGCGGUGCCCUAAUGACAAUAGUAAUGAUAACUUCUCCUGGCCUCUGGCUAAUGCCUUUAACGACUUCAUUAGUGCUAAUGCUAUUCGUGAGCUUCCCCGGGGGGAGCCCGCUAUACAUGGUCCAAUCAUCAGGCUAAUCCUAUUAGAUCUGUGCUUGAUAGAGUCUUCCUGUGUCCCAGUUGGGAUUCCUUGUUCCCUAGGGCUUCUCUUAACGCCAAAUGCAUUAUCGGUUCUGAUCGUACCCCUUAAUUCUUGACGACGGUUCCAUUAGCCUUAGGCCUCCAGCUAGAUUUCAAUUCGAUGCCUCUUGGCUGUCUGUGGAGGGCUUUGGUGACAUGGUUGCAGCGAAGAUUUCCCUUUCUCUCUCCUCCAAUGCUCGCUCUUUUGGGCCUAUGGAUGAUUGGCACUCGUGCUCCUAUACCCUGCGUAAAUUCCUCAGAGGUUGGUCUCGUAAUCGUGCGGUGGAGGAUCGUCGUACCAAAUCUUUCCUCGAGGACCAGAUUUUGUCGCUGGAUCGCGCGGCCGACUCUACUGGGCUUUCUGACGAUGGUUGGGCGGUUCGCUAUAAUCUUGAGGCCGCUUUAAUGCAGUUGCACCACCAGGCUGAGAUUUAUUGCCGUCAGCGGGGUACUCUAAACUGGACUCUAAAAGGUGACUCCCCUACGGCGUAUUUCUUUGCGAUCGCGAACGGUAGGCAUAGGCGUUGUAGUAUCAAUAGCCUGCUGAUUAAUGGUGCGCGAUCUUCGGAGCAGUCUGCUAUUAUGGCUCAUGUGGUGGAUUUUUUUUCUUCGUUGUUGGGGGCUAAACCUCAAUUGGGCUUCUCUAUCUCUCCUUCCCUUUGGGACUUAGGUCUUAAAAUCUCACCCGAGGAGAAUGCCUCCUUGAUGAUCCCUCUUUCUGAUCAGGAAAUUUGGGAGGUUGUUAACACUGCCAAUCCCAAUGCUGCUUCUGGGCCAGACGGCUUCUCCAUCCCUUUUUUCCGGAAUUUUUGGCCCCAGUUGAAACAGCUGGUUUGUAAUGUUAUCCAGGGUUUUUGUCUUGGUACUGUCGAUAUCUCCCGCCUGAACUACGCAGUGAUAUACCUGAUCCCCAAGGUUAAGGGUGCUGAUGUUAUUUCCCAAUUUCGGCCUAUUGCUUUGAUUAACAACUUUGCCAAAUUCAUGGCUAAAGGCUUUGCAAAUCGUUUUUCGCCGGUUGCUCAUAGAGUUAUUAGUCCUUAUCAAUCUGCUUUCAUCAAAGGGCGUUUCAUCCUCGAUGGUAUCCUAUCCCUUCAUGAGAUUGUGCACGAUCUUCACGCUCGGAGAGCUAAAGCGAUUAUCCUUAUGUUAGAUUUUGAGAAAGCUUAUGACUCGGUUAGCUGGCCCUUUCUCAAGCAGGUCCUUCUUGCUAAAGGUUUUGACGGUGCUUAUGUUCAUCGUAUCAUGCAGCUGGUCUCGGGUGGCCAUACUGCCGUUUCGGUUAAUGGUUUCGUUAGCAAUUUCUUCGUUAAUGGUAGGGGCCUGCGCCAAGGGGAUCCUACUUCCCCUGUUCUUUUUAAUUUUGUGGCUGAUGCCUUCUCGUGCAUGCUCUCCAGGGCGGCCCGUUGUGGGCACAUUGCUCCUGUGGUCUCCCAUUUACUUCCGGAGGGUGUUUCCCACUUGCAAUAUGCGGAUGAUACUAUUAUCUUGGUGGAGUUGGAUGACGCCUGCAUUGCUAACCUGAAAUUCAUCCUGCUGUGUUUCGAAGCGGUUUCGGGUCUUAAGAUUAAUUUCGCUAAAAGUGAGGUCCUGGUGACGGGUGUGGAUGGGGCGGAAGCGUUGCGGAUUGCCAGGCUCCUUAACUGUUCUUUGGGUUCCUUUCCCUUCAAGUAUUUAGGCCUUCCUAUUUCUCCUAGCGUGCUCCAUGCUAAAGAUUUCGCUCCGGCGGUCGCUAAAGUGGGGAACAGGGUGCUCCCUUGGAGGGGCAGAUACAAUACCAAUGCUGGCAAAGUUGCUCUAAUUAACUCCUGCUUAUCCUCUCUCCCCAUGUUUCUUAUGGGCUGUUAUCUUCUUACGGAUGGCGUGCAUGCUGGCUUUGACAAACAUAGGGGAGCUUUCUACUGGAAUUCCGCGGAUAACAAACGGAAAUAUAGGAUGGUCAAGUGGCAACAUAUGUGUAAGCCUAAAAAACUUGGGGGGUUAGGCAUUAUUAAUACUCGGGUAAUGAACAUUUGUCUGCUUAUCAAGUGGUGGUGGAAAAUUUUGACUAGUGGGGCCGAUUCGCUGUGGUUUUCGAUUCUUAAGGCUAAAUACUUCCCUCACUCCAACCUUCUGUUUGCCACCGCCAGGCGCGGGUCUCAAUUUUGGAAAUCCCUUGUCAAAGUCAGACCGAUCUUUCUGGAACAUGUCAAAUUUAAUGUUGGUAAUGGGUUGGCUGUUCGCUUUUGGUUGGACUGGUGGUCUGGGGAUGCCCCCCUUGCUGCGAGCUUUCCGGUUCUGUUUUCCUUUUGUCCUAAUUCGAAUAUCUCCAUCGCGGAGGUGGCAGCUAAUAAUUGGGAUUUGGCUUUUCGUCGGGCCCUGUCUCCUGAAGAGUUGGAAGAUUGGCAAAGUCUCUCUGCCCUCUUCCCCGUGCUCUCGGAGUCGGCCGAUUCUGUGGUGUGGCCUCAUUCGGCCUCAGGUAGAUUUUCGGUCAAGUCGCUGUAUUCUAGACUUAUUGGUGGUACUCCUUCGUCCAGAUUCUCUUGCGUUUGGAAGUCCAAAGUCCCUCCUAAGAUUAAAAUUUUCCUUUGGCAAGCCUUUCGUGGUCGCCUUCCGGCUGCUGACCAGAUCAAAAAGCGCAAUGGGCCUGGUUCGGAGUUUUGUCAUCUUUGUGGGGCCUUGGAGAACUCUGAUCACAUCUUUUUCAAUUGCGUGCUGGCCAAGUUGGUUUGGUGUUGUGUUAGAUCUUGGCUUCAGGUCUCUUGGAACCCCUCCUCUUUUACCCAUAUUCGAACCCUAGCCAAAGCUUUGGUUGGGGUCACCAAGAGGGUGUUUUGGGUAGGCCUGGGAGCCUUAUGUUGGGCUCUUUGGACCAUUAGGAACAAAUUUACUAUUGAGCAUAUCUUCCCAUCUAAGCCUGCUGACGUUCUUUUCAAAUCAUGUAUAUUAUUGCAGCAGUGGAGAUCAUUGACUAAGGAGGUUGAUCGGGAUGCCCUGGACCUGCUCAUCGUCAAAAUUCGGGCUUCGGCAUCUCUCAUCUCCGGGCGGGAUCCCGUCGUCUAAUCCUGGUGGUGCUGUUUGCGGAGUUUAGGUCUCUCUCCUUUCCGGCCUGCGCGCCGUGUAUGGCAGUUGCCUGUAUCCUUUCCCUCUUUGGUUACUCUCAAACUAUUCGCUUUGUGCACUCUGUGCGUUGUCUUGUUAGCUGGUUUCGCUCCUGUUUGGUUUCCUGUGACGCUGCCUUGUGGCUUUAUUUAUAAAGUCGGGCUCUGGCCUUUUCUCUAAAAAAGAUGAUGUGCUAGAGACAUGCUUCUGUACUGCCUUGCUGUAAACAAGAUGGUGUUUAUUGUAUUGUCUUUUGAUGCACAUUUGGUGUAUCCAUGGAAGCUAUGGUCUUCUGAUCUGCUGGUGUCAUGUACACAGAAGGUGAACUGUCUUCACUUAAAUUCAAGUACUAAAAACUUUUGUGACUUGCCAUGGCAACAUAAGCCAACUUAGCCUGACAAUAAACAACGAACCAACAUCAACAUGAAUAUGAGGUAAACUCAUAUUCUUAGUUGUGCUAUGAUCGAACUAACUGGUGCCUAGGCAACAAAACAAAUUAGAAUCCAGCAGCUAAUCCACCCUAGUUGUGAGUAAUUCGUUAACCGAAAGCAGUUUCCUGGAGGGGAGUAGUGUCUCAUGCUCCCAGCAAUCUACAGCUUCUAGAAAACAAAUCAUGGCACAGUCAAGAGAGUCCUGAAACGAAGAUGUGUUAACCUACACCUGGUUGCCACAGCUGUUAACAUUGGCACAGCACCAAAAAGCCACAGCAGGCAUGAUCAUCAGCUCCUCACGACAUGUAGGGCGAGCUAUGAGCUCCCGGGAAUAAAUGGCAAAGAUUUACAUGCAAUGGGCAAUGCUGGUUCCAUGGACAUCCCUUCCCUGCCGGGCUGCAUUCCCGAAACAAGUUUUAUGUUGAGAUCAAGAAAAGCAAAAUUUACACCACUAACAGCAGCAGCAGCAGCAGCAACAGCAGCUUCAGUGCUGUCGCUCAACGACAUCCCUGGGCGGUGUUUGCACAAGAUCACUAUCAGCAGGAAGAUCGUCGCAACCCGCUCUCUCGAUGCUAUCGCCUCUCACCCAGUUUCCUUUUCUUCUUGCUUUGCACGGUCUCUCCAUGGCGCCUGCAUCACACACAAACACGCCGUAACUGCAUAGCGACGAACCUCAAGAAAAGCAGCAAGGUUUCGGAAAAAGUAUAUACAGCAAGUUCCAUCAUAAGAUUGAACUUUGGACUCACCCAUCCUGCAUCUGCUUCCGUUUUCUCUUGACGCUAUUCGGCUUUGCCUCAUCUUUGCCGCCCCGCCUGAACACCUCAGAAUCACUAGUGCUGCCGCCGCCACCAUCCGUGGCACAUUCCCUCGACAGCGCGAGUCUAUCAAGAACGGAUACGGAUGCAUCGACUGAGGUUUCUUCUGACCGUGAUUUGAAAUCCUCCAGCAAAACAACACCUGGAGAAGCACAAGCGUACGCAUGUUGCUCAGCAAAGAGAUUGCUGCAGCCAUGUCACAUGUGAUGGAAGACGCCGAUCAAAAUUCACAAGGCUGGUAUUCAAAUUUGUCCCUUGGUCGCUCGAAUUUCGGAGCAUCGAGGAUAACAGCAGGAACAGAUGAGCGUCGCUGUAUACGAUGGGUGUCUGGCAAAGUGGUUCAGGUAGUACGUACUGAGGGCACGCAGCGUGCGCAGAUCGAACCCGGCGGCGAGGUGGGGGCGACCGGCCGUCUCCGCCAGCUUCACGGCCAGCAGCUUCAGGCUGACGAGGAGAUCCUGCACAACACCGCCGUGGCGCCGUCAACACCUGUCGUCAGGAAGAGAAGCUAUAGUAGAAAAUAAGAGGAGGGCAGGGGGCGUCACGGACGAGCUCUGGCUCGGAGAGGGCCGCGAGCCACCGGGGCUCCGGAGGUGGGGUUUCGCCGGCGGCGGAAGGCGCCAUGAGGGAGUGGGGAGAGAAGAUGGGGGCGAUGUGUUUUUUUUUUCUUUUCUUUUUUUGCUUUUUUUGGGGGUAUUAUUAUUUUUUGCUUUUUUAGGGUAAAGCCAAUUUUAUAUUGAUCAAAGACCAUACUACCUCCGUCUCGGUGAAUAAGUCAUCCGCGUAGUUCUAGGUUGACGAUUUAACUAUCUAAAUAUGUAUUGUAUGUGACAAAAAAUAUAUAUAUUUAGAAACUACAUCCUUGUAGAAAUCUAGUGAUAUACUUUUCAUGACAUAUAAUACAUAUUUAAUUGCUCAAAUCGAUGACCUAGAACUACGUAAAUGACUUAUUCACCUAGACGGAGGUAGUAGUUAGUUGGAUUCAAUCCAGGUCGUGUGGUUGGUCAAACCACAUGACGGCGCUGAGAUAAAGAAAGAGAAAAGCUCGCUAAAUUAUGUGCGUCGAGAUUAACAACACGACCUACCAAAGUAAAGUUACAAUUAAAAGAAGCUGCUCUGCUUUUGAUCUCCUUGAUGAUGGCACCAACUCUACCUUGGCUCUUCUCAAAAAAAAAAAACUCUACCUUGGCUACAUUGCCUAAUAUCGUCCACUUGCUUGGAAUCAGAUGUUAUGAUAAAUUUGUGUAGAUGGAGGUCUCCCGCUAAUGAUGGAACUUCACGGCAAGUCAUGGCCUCCAGCGUUGUUUGGUCACGAAAACACCUCCAAUGACUAGGCUUCUUCUCAUGAAUAAUUUGGACAUCAAUGCACCUUGUGACAAAAGAACGCGAUGCAGACGGGCUUUGAAAGAUCCUUUCGUGAAUGGCCUUUCGAUGUGCCGACCAAAUGGCCCAGAGAGUAACUUCCAUCUUUACGAGCUGCUCAUGUGAUAAUGAUUCGAGUGGAGAGAAGAGACAUUGCCGGCACCAGUGUGGGAUGAUGGUUCGUGAGAGACGGUGGUUGGUGGUCUUGCCGGCGCCAAUGUGGGAUGAUGUGCAACGAGGUGGUGUGGGAGCUUGGGUGAAGACCCUGUAUCGGCCAUUGUGCCAUGACCAACAAUGGUUGCGGUUGUGGCCAUCGUUGACCUUUCUGUAGGCAUCGGUGUUGUGGUGUCGCACACCUUCCGCGGGGACCCGACUAUCGUGGCCUCUUCAGGGGAAACCCUUGAUCUUGUGAUCGGACGAUGACAGCGCCUGGGUGUGUAAUUUUUGUUAGAAGGGAGAGAGAGGUUUGGUGGAAUAGUUGUUCAUUGUAUUGCUUGAGCCUCGUGGGCAUAUAUAUAGGAGUACAUGAUCUACUUGGAGUACAAGACAAGACAGAAUACUUCCUAGUUUAUCCUAUGUUUCCUAAUACAAUCACGUUACUCAACAAUUUUCCCUCUUGGGGGCUUCGUCUUGAGCUUGAUGACAUCACUUGGGUGUGUAAUUUUCCCUCUUGGGGGCUUCAUCUUGGAGCUCGACAUCGGCAAGCAGGACCGAUGGUUAGCGGUGGUGGUAGCGUCGAAGCUUCUGUGGCAACAACGAUGGUGGGAGCGAUGUCGGUGAAGCGCCUAUGUUUGCGGUAGUCGACUCUUCUUGGACGUGUUCGGAGGAUUGUCUUCGUAAUUUGUUUGUUGUUGUAGAGUCAAAGAUGCGGCGGCAGGACCCUGUUGUGUACGAUGACCGGCCUGGUUUUGUCCUUUAGAGUUCCCCAUCAAAGUCUGGUCGCAGGUGGCUUUGUUUUUGCCCAGAUUUCUCGACCUGGCUACAUGGACGAUACUUAAUGGCCGUGGGCAAUCUAAUUUUCGCUCAGUUUUCUAAUUAACUAAGUGUUAUGACCGGUUUGGUCUAUACCAGGAAAAGUCUCACCGGACAUUAGUAUUAAGGGCUUGACCCACAAGUUAUAAAUACUAGUUGUAAGACAUCGUUUGAGAGCAAGCAAUAAAGAUAUUAUCAUCUUCUGUUGCCCGGCUCCCUGAGGAGCCGGAACCCUAGCCGCCACCAGCCAACCGCCGCCGCACCUAAACCCUAGCUGCGACGGCGCCUCAUAGCCGGCGCGCCCGCUCCAGCCCUCGUCUCCCUCCUCCCUGCCCAUACAAUCUACGCCGAAGGCCCGGUAGGAACCCUAGUCCUACCACUAAGCAAUUCUUUUUCUUCUUGAUAAGCAAAGUUCAUCUCCACCCUAGGGACGCCCCAUUAGUGACAACAGAAGCAAGUUCCUUUAAAAGGAAAACAGAUGGCAAUGGAAAACCAGUGUUUUGAGAAUACUGCAACAAGUAGACUAACACAAUAACAGUGAAGAUGAUGCGCCAAAAACUAGUAUUACACACCCAAAAGGUUCGGGGCCGAAUCAGGUACAUAUCCACAAGGACCAAAAUUGGAGCAAGUUUGGGGGUACAUAUCCGUUCCGUUCACAUAAACAUGCGCGGCAUUAUUGCUCAAUCCUAAGAGCUUCAACCAGAGUUCAUUCCGGAGGUUAAACACACCCAUUUUCACAAAAACUCGCGAAGAUACCGUCUAGUAGGGCUCCACCGGUGCGCGGAACUUGAGGCCAGCAUACACUGCAGCGUCGCCCAGCUCCUCCUCGAUCCUCAGAAGCUGUUCCAAUUUGGAAAAAAUAGGUCUUAGUUUGUUUUCACAAAAAAUGAGUACCGAUAAAGAUCAGACACAAAUGAGAAAUAAGAACACAGCACAUAACAAAAAAAGAGUAAAGCAUGGGAUCAAAUAAAUUCUUUUGUUUGAUUGUAAGGUCCUGUUGGCCAACAUAAUAUCGGGAGAUUGCUUCAGCAAAACAAGAAUAAACAGGGAGAACUACUUGCCUGGUUGUACUUGGCAAGACGCUCUGACCGGCAGGGAGCCCCGGUCUUGAUCUGACCCUGUUGCACAUGAAGAAACAUUGGUCAGUUAUAUGAGGAUUGCAACUAGUCUAGUUAAAAUUGCCCUAAGAAAUGCUAAAUAUGCAGCUUAUAAAACCAUACCGUGGACAGACCAACAGCCAAAUCAGCAAUGAAUGUGUCCU
RNAcentral lists this long non-coding RNA (64921 nucleotides) under Triticum aestivum (bread wheat). RNAcentral describes it as "long non-coding RNA (TAES_LNC006586)". Lineage: Eukaryota; Viridiplantae; Streptophyta; Magnoliopsida; Poales; Poaceae. The record is from RNAcentral.